This 49796-nucleotide long non-coding RNA is filed under the name Hordeum vulgare. Its description in RNAcentral is "long non-coding RNA (HVUL_LNC013703)". The record is from RNAcentral. Lineage: Eukaryota; Viridiplantae; Streptophyta; Magnoliopsida; Poales; Poaceae.
GCCGGGGAUGAAGGUGCGGGUCAGCCACCGGACCGGGAAGGGCGACCGGAUCGUGUCCUGGAGAUCCCCCGAUGACCCGGCGCCGGGGCGCUUCUCCUACGGCCUGGACCCCGGCACGUCGCUGCAGCUGCUCAUGUGGAACGGCACGCGCCCCUACUGGCGCAGCCCCGUCUGGAAGGGGUACGCCGUCGCCACCAUGUACGUCAGCGCCGGCACGGUGAUCUACACGGCGAUAGUCGACACGGACGAGGAGAUCUCCUUGGCCUUCUCCGUCUCCGGCGGCGCCGCGCCCACGCGGUACGUGGUGACCAGCUCCGGCAAGUUCCAGCUGCUCAUCUGGAACGGCACCAGGUCGGCCUGGGCCACGCUCCAGUCGUGGCCCUCCAGCGAAUGCACCACGUACAGGCACUGCGGCGCGUACGCCUACUGCGACACCACGGCGGCGCCGGCGACGUGCAGGUGCCUCGACGGCUUCGAGCCUGCUAAACCGGCAGAGUGGACCUCCGGCAGGUUCGGGCAGGGUUGCCGACGGAAGGAGGCGCUGCCGCCGUGCGGCGGCGGAGGCGGCGGCAAUGGGGUGGGUUUCAUAGCCAUGCCCAGCAUGAAGGUGCCGGACAAGUUCUCGCUGGACGCUGGCAACCGGAGCGCGGAGGAGUGCGCGGCGAGGUGCGCCGGCAACUGCUCGUGCGUGGCGUACGCGUACGCCAACCUGCAGAGCAGCAGCGCCAAGGGGGACGUGAGCCGGUGCAUCGUGUGGGCAGGGGAGCUCGUGGACGCGCAGAUGAUCGACCCGCGCUGGGGCGGCGAGACCCUCUCCCUCCGCGUGCCCGCCGCUGCCGCUUCCACUUCCCCAGGUACGGCAGAAAUAUAUUCCUUUUGCCAAACUUUGUCUGAAUUCUCUUGAAGAAUUCAAAAAAAAACAUGCUCUCUGCCGAAUUCGAAUUCAGUUUCAUCAAACGUUUACCAUAUAUUUGCAUGUUCAGGUGGAAAGGCCAGCAGAAAUGCAGUGAAAAUAGCAGUGCCGGUGGUAGCAUCUGCCCUGCUGCUCACAUGCAUUUUCUUUGUAUGGUUCUGCAGAUACAGAGGUACCGUUGCAUUUUAUGCUUACCUCUAGCCAAAACAUGCCAUGCCCAACCAUUUCGUUUCGUUCUUAGACAAGACGCUCAUCACUCAUCACAACAAUUGAAAAUUGAUACAGACAAGAGAAGGAAAACCGAGAGCCAGAAGAAGCUAAUGCCCGGGAUCAGGACCGGGACCACAAACACGUCGAGCGAGAUCGGAGAAGGAGAUCGCACCGGAGACCUUGAGUUCCCCUCCAUAGGAUUCGGCGACAUCGUCGCCGCCACGGACAACUUCUCCAAGACACUCAUGAUCGGCCGCGGAGGCUUCGGCAAGGUCUACAAGGUACUAGCUCCAUUCACUUUGUCUAGCUAGAAAAGUUCGGUCGUUGCGACCAACAAUUUAAACCCCUAGAACAGAGUCAUGAUCUCACACAUUCCACUUGUUUGUGUUUGUCAUUCCGAAGGGAACAUUAGACGGUGGUCAUGUGGUAGCAGUGAAGAGGCUGAGCAAGGAUUCGGAUCAGGGAGCAGAGGAGUUCAAGAACGAGGCGAUCCUGAUCGCCAAGCUGCAGCACCGGAACCUGGUGCGCCUCCUCGGCUGCUGCACCGAGGGGGGCGAUAAGCUGCUCAUCUACGAGUACCUGCCCAACAAGGGCCUCGACGCCAUCCUCUUCGGUACAUACUAUGUUCAGCGAACUCAAAUAUACAACUGAAGGUUUCUUGCCAUGGUUUCUGAAGUUCAGAUGUUGCAGACAGUGGGAGGAAGUCGGUGUUGGACUGGCCGACGCGGCUGGGGAUCAUCAAGGGGGUGGCCAGGGGGCUGCUCUACCUCCACCAGGACUCCAGGCUGACUGUGAUACACAGGGACCUCAAGGCCAGCAACGUGCUGCUGGACGCCGAGAUGCGGCCCAAGAUCGCCGACUUUGGCAUGGCCAAGAUCUUUGGUGACAACCAGGUGAAAGCCAACACCCGGAAAGUCGUCGGAACAUAGUGAGUAGCCUGACCACCUGACUGAAUUUUCUGAAAGAAACGAAAAAAUAUAUUUUUGUUCUGAGUUGGUAGUUAGCAUUUGAUCGAAAAAUACCCUAGCAAAAUGUGAUACCUCUUCUGACGAAAAAGUAUAAUGUGUGAACAGUGGCUACAUUGCUCCCGAGUACUCGACGGAGGGCGUCUUCUCAGACAAGUCCGACGUGUACAGCUUCGGCGUGCUGCUCCUGGAGAUCGUGAGCGGUAUCAGGGUAAGCGCGACCGAGGGCAUCAUGGAGUUUCCAAGCCUGAUAUCCUAUGUAAGGACCUCAACAAAAACUAACAGCUCCAUCUUGCAGUUAACUUCCAUUUUCAGAUACACUCAAUGUCAACAAAAGAACAUGCACAAAUGGUUGAUUUUUUGUGUGUGUUUCGUGUAGGCAUGGCACCUGUGGAGAGAAGGGAAGGCAGGCAAGCUGGUGGAUCCAUCCAUGGCAGGGAGCUGUUCACAGGAUGAGGCUUCGCUGUGCAUCCACGUCGGGCUCCUGUGCGUCGAGGACGACCCGAGCAGGAGGCCGCUCAUGUCCUCCGUUGUGUCCAUCUUGGAGAACGGGAGUGCGUCGGCGUUGUCCCUGCCGACGCCGGUGCAGCCUGCUUUUGUCGAAAUGAUGGGAGAGAAGAGCCAGAGAAGCGACCUCGAGAACACCAGGAACACAAUGGCCAUGACCGUUCUGCAAGGUCGGUAGUACGGUAGUUACUGCAACUUUCUUCAGAAGGAAGCUGCACUAGUCCUAGUGUUCCAUAUGAUUUACUGAGGAAAAACCCAAAUUUGUAGAGCAUUCGUUACAGAUCUAAACGAAAGACGCAUUUCAGGAGUGUUGAGUUGAUCAGCCUUGAAAUGGAUGGUAUGAUUGUCUUGCUGAGAUUGAAACGUUUAACAUGUUGGACUGAAAAUUAUUGAGACAAGUUAUAUAUACAUUAGACAUUCAGAGCAACUCUAACACGCCGACACAUUUCGUCUGCCUGCGUUCGUUUGGUUCGCGGCGGACAGAAGUGAGGCCUAACGCGUUGACCCAAACCCCAAACACAUCUGUUUCGCAUCCGUGCAGAUCCAUUUCAGGUCCAAAAUUGCGCGUGAAAUGCGUCGGCGCACACACGAAGCGGACGCGCCGCACGACCAGCGGCGUCGGCCGCAGUCCCACUUCGCGGCCCCCAACUACCACCCGCCGUCAAAUUUAGGACGACCACCGCCACCAGGUCCACUAGUCCGCCAGUGAAAGCGUCCUUUUUUACGUCCGACUUCCGUCCACAUCAGCCCCCCACCACCCACUUCGUGCUUCCCCGUUGGCGACAACCCAAGCCCUAGCUAUGGGGUUCUUUGGUAGCAGCUCCGGCAGCGACAAGGGCAUGGGCACCCCCGGCGCCUCAUCCACCCGUGCUCCUCCUCCUCCGCCUUCGGCACCUACCCGCUCAUACACAGGUCGCCAGCGUCUGCACAUCCCCGUGCAUCAAGCGCGGUGGCACUGGGUGUUCAGACAGCCGCUGCCAUACCCGAACGUCACGCUGCCGCACCACCGGCACCUUGAUCCGUAGCGGAUCCCGGUGCCAGCGGUGCCGCAGACACAACGGGCGCACGACAAGGAGGUGCGCAGGGGCCGGGUGUUGGGGAACGUCGCAUGGGAAACAAAAAUUUUCCUACGCGCACGAAGACCUAUCAUGGUGAUGUCCAUCUACGAGAGGGGAUGAGUGAUCUACGUACCCUUGUACAUCGUACAGCAGAAGCGUUAGAGAACGCGGUUGAUGUAGUGGAACGUCCUCACGUCCCUCGAUCCGCCCCGCGAACAAUCCCGCGAUCAGUCCCACGAUCUAGUACCGAACGGACGGCACCUCCGCGUUCAGCACACGUACAGCUCGACGAUGAUCUCGGCCUUCUUGAUCCAGCAAGAGAGACGGAGAGGUACAAGAGUUCUCCGGCAGCGUGACGGCGCUCCGGAGGUUGGUGAUGAUCUUGUCUCAGCAGGGCUCCGCCCGAGCUCCGCAGAAACGCGAUCUAGAGGAAAAACUAUGGAGGUAUGUGGUCGGGCAGCCGUGAGAAAGUCGUCUCAAAUCAGCCCUAAUUGCUCCAUAUAUAUAGGAGGAGGGAGGGGGACCUUGCCUUGGGGUCCAAGGGACCCUCAAGGGGUCGGCCGAGCCAAGGGGGGGAGGACUCCCCCCCCAAACCGAGUUGGACUUGGUUUGGUGGAAGGAGUCCCCCUCCCUUCCCACUUCCUCCCUCUUUUUUUUCUUUUCCUUUGAUUUCCUUUUCUUGGCGCAUAGGCCCCCUUGGGGCUGUCCCACCAGCCCACUAAGGGCUGGUGUGUCUCCCCAAAGCCUAUGGGCUUCCCCGGGGUGGGUUGCCCCCCCCCCCCCCCCGGCGCCCCCCGGCCUUCGUUUCCGGACCAUUUCGGAAACCCUCGUGACGUCCGUGAUCUCAUCCGGGACUCCGAACAACAUCCGGUAACCAACCAUAUAACUCAAAUACGCAUAAAACAACGUCGAACCUUAAGUGUGCAGACCCUGCGGGUUCGAGAACUAUGUAGACAUGACCCGAGAGACUCCUCGGUCAAUAUCCAAUAGCGGGACCUGGAUGCCCAUAUUGGAUCCUACAUAUUCUACGAAGGUCUUAUCGUUUGAACCUCAGUGCCAAGGAUUCAUAUAAUCCCGUAUGUCAUUUCCUUUGUCCUUCGGUAUGUUACUUGCCCGAGAUUCGAUCGUCAGUAUCCGCAUACCUAUUUCAAUCUCGUUUUACCGGCAAGUCUCUUUACUCGUUCCGUAAUACAAGAUCCCGCAACUUACACUAAGUUACAUUGCUUGCAAGGCUUGUGUGUGAUGUUGUAUUACCGAGUGGGCCCCGAGAUACCUCUCCGUCACACGGAGUGACAAAUCCCAGUCUUGAUCCAUACCAACUCAACUAACACCUUCGGAGAUACCUGUAGAGCAUCUUUAUAGUCACCCAGUUACGUUGCGACGUUUGAUACACACAAAGCAUUCCUCCGGUGUCAGUGAGUUAUAUGAUCUCAUGGUCAUAGGAAUAAAUACUUGACACGCAGAAAACAGUAGCAACAAAAUGACACGGUCAACAUGCUACGUCUAUUAGUUUGGGUCUAGUCCAUCACGUGAUUCUCCCAAUGACGUGAUCCAGUUAUCAAGCAACAACACCUUGUUCAUAAUCAGAAGACACUGACUAUCAUCGAUCAACUGGCUAGCCAACUAGAGGCAUGCUAGGGACGGUGUUUUGUCUAUGUAUCCACACAUGUAAAUGAGUCUUCAUUCAAUACAAUUAUAGCAUGGAUAAUAAACUAUUAUCUUGAUACAGGAAUUAUAAUAAUAACUAUACAUUUAUUAUUGCCUCUAGGGCAUAAUUCCAACACCGGGUGCAACUCACCCUGGCGUAGCGGCACAUGCCCGGGUACGCCGCAAACUCUCUCCCAAUCUGGUGGCCUGGUUCGUCAUCGAACACAAGGAGCCACGGCGCCUAGGCGUGCAGCGUCACCACGGCAACCCCCCGCCUCCCCCUAUCGCCAAGCAAGACGAGGAGGAAGACGAGGUGGCGUACCAGUCGCGUUGGAGGAGGCCUUCGCCAACUCCAUCGAGGAUAAGCGAUGAAAGGCCGAAGUGGCGGCGGAGGAGGUCGCGUACGAGGCGGAGAUGGCGGAGGCCAUGGCCCUCUCUGCAGCAGGCGACGGUGUGGUGCCUCCGUCGCCGUCGCGGCCCCCGACAAGGAAUCGAGAGAGGAAGAGAAUGUGUGCGCCCGCGUCGCCGCAUUGCCUUCACUGCAGCAGAUGCCGGAGGAGGCAACCCUCAUGGCCUAUCCAUCCGCAUUCGGUUGGGUUGGACACCUUCCGUCUUCAUCAACGUCACCGCGAUGACGAUGAUGACGUCUAGGGCUGUGUGCAGGCCGCCAACGUCUAAGGCCGCAUGCCGCCGCACCAACGUCUAGGGCUGCGUGCGGGCAUCAACUUCAAUUUUUUGUUUUUAUGAAUGUUUAAAUUUAGUUUAAAGUGGAAUUUGGCAGACGGUUGACAAGCGAGUCUUGAAUUCGUAUUUACUUUAAAGUAGACUUUGGACGUGCGCACAAAUUUAGGUCCACCUCCCGUUGAACGCUCAAGCCGACCUAUAUAAAAAAGCGGACGCAGACGUCCGCCUAACCGAUCCAAGCGGACAAAAGAAGGACAAAAGCGUCUUGGUAAUAUAUUUGAUUUAUUUGGUAAUAUAUUUGAUAGACAGCGUCUCUCUUCUUCUUUUUUACAUCUUAGAGAAACACUAGCUCAUCCUUGGUAAUAUAUUUGAUUUAUUUAUUCUAUGAGUAGAAUUAUUGUGGUUUAUGGUUAGUUAGUGUUUAGUGAAUAGUCAUUCUUUGAAAUACAGGACGAGACCGUUCAUUUACGCUGAGGUUUCUGCUGAGGCGACGGCGAAGCGUGAACGCGAAUUUAUUGAGAGAAAAAUGAACCACUGGGUGACAGCUGUUGAUGCGUUGAAUGCGACGUGUAAAACCUUUUCAAACUAGUAUUUUUGUAAGAACGCUGUGAAAAAUUUAAUCAAUAAAAAGGAGAGUGAGAUCACCAAGCUCAAAAAAACGAAAAAAGAUUGUAGGCGCGAUCUUGCAAUGCAAGUUGCAUUCUGUGCAACAAGGGAAGAACAUGAGCACUUUAACAUGAACAACCAUGGUCAGGUCAUUGAUUGGUUAGUGAGGCACCUUUUUUUGUUGGAACCGAAGCAGGCAUCUCGUUGGGCAUGGGUCAAAGUAAGAAAUGAUGUUCUUUGCUGCAAUCCGGGACCUUACGCCAAAUAAAAUGUCUGUUCAUUACCAUGAGCCUAUGUAAUCUUUGUCAUUUGAGACUAUAAUGCCAUGUACCCAUUUGCAUAACUUGUUCUCGUUUGAACUAUGAAAUCUUUAUCAUUUGAACUCCGUGAAGAUAUUGGUGUUGUAUGUCAUAUUGAACUAUGUAAUCUUUGUGAUGUUCUAUUGUUUGAACUCCAUAUUGAACUAUGUAAUCUGUGUGAUGUUUUAUUGUUUGUUCACAAAUUAAAUAUAACAUAUCAAGUGCAUUUUACUUCACUUCACGACAAGUUCACAAAUUAAAUAUAACAUAUCAAAUGCGCUUCAUUUCAUUUCACGAAAAGUUCACAAAUUAAAUAUAACAUAUCAAGUGCACUUUACUUCAGUUCACGACAAGUUCACAAAUUCUUCAGAGACAGCUAAUCCCAAAAAAUUAUGUGACGGCUAAUAAGGCUGGUUGUAAUAUAGAGUUAUCGUGCAUACGAUGUUAGUGUAUGAUAAUACAUUCUGAAUGCAUAGUACUCCCGCUGUCAUAGUUUAGAAGGCAUGUACGUGUAUCUAGAUCGUCAAUUUAACUUAUAUAAAAUAUAUGUUUAACAUAAAAAUUAUAUAAUUCGAAAAUAAAACAUCUAAAGUUUCUAAUGAUAUAUUUUUGUUAUAUAUGUCUCUCAUUAACUUGGUCAAAUUAAUGACCUAGAUACAUGUGUCGGACAUGUAAACUCAGACGGAGGAAGUAUCAUAAGAUAGUUUAUUUAUUGUCAUGCAUGACACAUAGUAGAACAUCGUUUAAUACGAUAUUAUGUUUUACUAUGUCUGAUAUUUAAUCUUCUCUUUAUUUAUUUAAUUAUAUGAAAUCUCAUUAGAAUUAUCUAGUUGACAUGUAUAAUACUCCCUCCGUUUCUAAAUAUAAGUAUUUUAAGCGAUUUCACUAGGGGUCUACAUACGGAACAAAAUGAUUGAAUGUAUGCUUUAAAGUAUGUCUAUAUACAUCCGUAUGUAGUCUAAUAGCGAAACCUUUAAAAAGACUUAUAUUUAGAAAGGGAGUAGGUACUUAUGAUAUUUUCGUUAUAACCAGCCUAACAUUGCCGCUCUCAAAAGUUUUCAUGCAUACUAUCCAUGUCACUUCAAUGUCUAUACGAAUUCAUUUACCUGUUUUGUCGGCCCGUAGCGUUUGUUGGGCAAGGUAGGUCGAGUUAAGAACUUGCGCGUAGGUAAAACGCGCACACACAGGAGACAACCAGACUCACCAGUUCACCUGUUCCCAUGCGCACUGCACUUCCCUGCAGGGUCCACGCUGAAACUAGUCAAUAUGAACUCGCCAAGUCGCGUCGCCGUGUGGCUAGGCUAGCUACAAUGGCGACAUCGCCUUCCGGACAAGAAGGAUCACGUAUGUACCGCCCACAGAAACGUCAAGGCGCUUUCCAAAAAACAAAGAACGUCGCCCGAGGGUAAUAAUGUGCAUCGGCGCACCGUGAACUUGAUCGAUGGACCUGUCACGUUCUGCCGUCCUCGUCCUCGCCGUCGCCGUCGCCGUCUUCCUCCUGUGCGCGUCCGCCGAGGACCAGCUGGCCGUGGGGGAUAAGCUCCUGGCUGGGCAGUCCCUCGUGUCCGCAGGCGGCGCCUUCGCUUUCGGCUUCUUCUCCCCUGACGACGCCGCCGGCACGGCCACACGGUGGUACCUCGGCAUAUGGUACAACGGCAUCCCCGGGCCUCGCACCGUCAUCUGGGUGGCCAACCGGGACGCCCCGGCCGCCGGCGCCCCGACGCUCACGCUGGCCAACGACUCCCGCCUCGUCAUGUCCGACGCCGACGGUCGCGUGCUCUGGAACACGACCGUCGCGAGCAGUUCGUCGUCGCAGACGCCCACGGCGGCCGUGCUGACGAACGGGGGCAACCUGGUCGUCCAGGGAGCGAACGACGCCGCGUUGUGGCAGAGCUUCGACCACCCAACGGACACGUUCGUCCCGGGCAUGAAGAUGCGGCUGAGCCACCGGACGGGCAAGGGCGACCGCAUCGUGGCUUGGAAAUCCCCCGGCGACCCGGCGCCGGGGCGCUUUUCCUACGGCCUGGACCCCAGCACCUCGCUGCAGCUGAUCAUGUGGAACGGGACGCGCCCCUACUGGCGCACUCCCAUCUGGCAGGGGUACGCCGUCGCCGCCAUGUACGUCAGCGCCGGCACGGUCAUCUACACCGCGAUCCUCGACACGGACUUGGAGAUCUCCAUGGCCAUCACCGUCUCCGACGGCGCGGCGCCGACGCGGUAUGUGGUGACAAGCUCCGGCAGGUUCCAGCUGCUCAGCUGGAACGGAACCCUGUCGGCGUGGGCCACGCUCCAGUCGUGGCCAUCGAGCGGGUGCGGCGCAUAUAGUCGCUGCGGCGCAUACGGGUACUGCGACGUCACAUCGGCGCCCGCGGCGUGCAGGUGCCUGGACGGCUUCGAGCCGGCGAGCGCGGCGGACUGGAGCGCCGGCAGGUUGGAGCAGGGGUGCCGGCGAAAGCAGGCGCUGCCGCCAUGCGGCGGCGUCGGGGUAGGUUUCGUGGCGAUGCGGAGCAUGAAGGUGCCGGACAAGUUCUCGAUCGACUCCAGCAACCGGACCGCGGGGGAGUGCGCGGCCAGGUGCGCCGCAACCUGCUCGUGCGUGGCGUACGCGUACGCCAACGUGCAGAUCAACAGCGCCAAGGACGAACUGAUCCGGUGCGUGGUGUGGUCAGAGGAGCUCGUCGACGCGCAGAUGAUCGACGCGCGCUGGGGCGGCGAAACGCUCUACCUCCGCGUGGCCGAAAUUGAUGAUGCCUCCACAGGUAGAGGUAGUAGAGCAGAAACACACUUGUUUCUUUUGCCCAACUUCAUCUGUUGAAUCUUUAGUCUCUACCGAAAUCAACCCAAACAAAUUUGCCAGUGCCGGUGUUAGCCCUGCCCAACACAGGUAGAAAGUCCAGCAGAAAUGCGGUGAAGAUAGCCCUGCCGGUGUUAGCAUCCCUCCUGCUGCUCACAUGCACUUUCUUUGUAUCGUUCUGGAGAUUCAGAGGUACAGUUGUAUUUUUCUUCCUUUUUUUUUCUUUAUUAACUCUGAACAUGGCGUGCUCGACCAUUCUUUCAUACACACACACACACACAAAAAAAAAGCUCACAAGCACCAAUGUCGCAGUCAAGGGAAGAAAAACCGAGAGCCAAAAUAAGAACAAGUCGGGCAAAAUCGGAGGAGAUCACACAGAAGACCUUGAGUUCCCGUCCAUACGGUUCGCCGACAUUGUCAUCGCCACGGACAACUUCUCCAAAACACUCAUGAUCGGACGCGGAGGGUUCGGGAAGGUCUACAAGGUACUACUUCUACUCAGAUUUGCUAAAUUUCAGUCACCUGAAAUUUUCUGUUCUGUUAGCUUAGCAGUUUUUUUUUAAAUCAGGGGCCUCGCCCGGCUCCAUUUUCAUUAUCAAAGAGAGGCAAAUUUUUCCAUUAGUGGUUGUUAGACUGUGUAUUUGUAUAGCUUUCGUAUAUACCCCUGUAUGUAUACCCCUUAUAGAUAUAAGAUAGCUACACCCGUAUUGGAUGUCGAGCAGUUUUCAUCAAACAUUGUUUUACAUGGUAUCAGAUUAGGUUAGAUCGUUUUUCCACUUUCACAGUUCCACUGUCGCCGCCGCCUCACGGCUUCUCCACCGGGCGCCGCCACGAUCUCCGCUCGCCCGACCGCUACACCUGCCGCCUGCCCAGCCCCUGUCGCUCAGGCCGCCCCGUCAUCUCCAUUUUUUGGCCUCCUGAUCGCUGGCCUCUCUGUCCGGUGUCUUCAUGGCCGCCCCGACGCCGCCUCUGGGUCGCUUUGACGUCGUCCCACCACCGGCAUCCUAUGGUGCCUCCCACCCGACGGCGCCCUACAACCCUGCUCCUGCCCCGCAGGCGUUUGGGGGUCAUGCCCCGCCCGCGGCUGCACCCUAGUGGGUGUAUCAGCACCCGUCGGCGGGCCACUCGCCCAAGGGUCCUCCACACCCGAUGCCGCUGGGGGGUGGUUCCUACGGUGUUGCUCCUGCCACCCCAUGGCCGAGUACGCCCUACGUACCCCCGACUACGUCGGCCUCUGCCUACCUGCAUGUCUCAGGUGCCGCGCCUCCUUACGGUCCGACCGCCUUGUACGCGAGGCCAUAUGGAGGUCCAUCGACCGACCUGGUUGCGUCACCUUCGUGCGGCUAUGCCCCGCUACCACCAUCGGAUCAGGGUGUCCCUGCUUCGCUGUUCUACUUCGCGCACCUCAUCCCGGUGAAGUUGACAACGGAGAACUACCUGUCGUGGGGUGCUCAGGUCUUGCCACUUCUCCGUAGUCUCUACUUGGAGGGGUUUGUUGAUGGCACUCUGUCGUGUGCCCCGCCUUAUCACCCGGGGCAUCAUGCGUGGGUGGCUCAAGAUCGAGCCAUCCUUUCAGCUAUCCAGUCCUCUCUUAUGGAGGGGGUCUCGUCACUUUCAGGCGGCCCUUCGGGUUCCUCAUUGGCGCAAGGCCAUCGAGCAGGAGUUUCAGGCACUACAGAGGAACGAUACUUGGCGCUUGGUUCCUCCUGUGUCGGGUGUCAACAUAAUUGAUUUCAAGUGGGUCUUAAAGGUAAAAAAGCAUGUCGGUGGUUCCAUUGAGCGCUUCAAGGCACGGUUGUUGGCCAAAGAUUGUACACAACGGUAUGGUCUUGAUUAUGAGGAUACUUUCAGCCCAGUUGUUAAACCUACCACUAUGUGUCUGCUUCUCUCCUUGGCUGUUGCCAAAGGGUAGUCUAUGCGCCAGCUUGAUGUUCAGAAUGCUUAUCUCCAUGGGGUCUUGGAGGAAGAAGUUUACAUGCGGCAACCUCCCGGUUUUGUUGAUCCAGCUCGUCCACAUCAUUUAAGUCGUCUUGUUAAGGAGCUUUAUGGACUCAAGGAGGCUCCUCGUGCAUGGCAUGCCCGGCUGGGCUCGGUUCUUCGACAGCUUGUGUUUACUCCGCCCACUGCUGACACGUCAUUGUUCCUGUUUCAUCGUCUUGAGGUGACUAUAUGUACCUGCUGGUUUAUGUUGAUGACAUUAUUCUUAUAAGCUCGUCCGUCUGCUACUAAUCGUCUGCUAUCUGCUCUCAGUGGUCACUUUGCUGUCCAGGAUCUGGGGGCUCUCUAUUACUUUCUUGGCUUGGAGGUUUCACAGUCUUCUGCUGGCCCGACUCUCACUCAGCCGAAGUACUCUUUUGACCUGCUACGCCGUGGAGGUAUGUUGCGCUGCAAGCAUGCUACCACCCCUAUGUCUGCGACAGGUCGGUUAUCAGCCUUGGAUGGUGACUUACUCCGUCCAGAUGAUGCUACUGAGUAUCACAGUGUUGUUGGAGCUUUGCAGUACUUGACUAUUACACGGCCUAACAUUUCCUAUGCGGUUAACCUUGUGUGACAGUUUCUUCAUGCUCCUCGAACUUCACACUGGUCAGCUGUGAAGCGUGUCUUGCGUUAUCUCUCACACUGUCUCAUAUGGCUUGCAUCUUCGGUCUACCUCUUCGUCUGCCCUCUCGGCCUUCUCCGAUGCUGAUUGGGCUGGGAGCCGUGAUGACCGACGAUCAACGGGGGGCUAUGCUGUCUUUUAUGGGGAUAACUUGAUCGUUUAGAGUGCACGCAAGCAGGCCACAAUAUCUUGGAGUAGCAUUGAAGCAGAGUACAAGGCGGUUGCCAAUGCCACGACUGAGCUCAUUUGGGUAAAGUCUUUGUUGAGAGAGUUAGGUAUCUCUCAACAACAACCACCCGUUCUUUGGUGUGAUAAUAUUGGUGCGACAUAUCUUUCAUCUGAUCCAGUUUUUUAUGUUCGUACCAAGCACAUCGAAGUUGACUAUCACUUUGUAAGGGAACGCAUUGCACGGAAGCUUCUUUAUAUCAAGUUCAUCUCUUCAAAGGAUCAAUUUGCUGACAUCUUCACAAAGCAACUUUCACAACCUCAGUUUGAGGGAUGCAGGUGCAAUCUUAACUUGCUUUGUACUUCAGGACAUAGUUAAGAUUGAGGAAGGAUCUUAGACUAUGUAUUUGUAUAACUUUCGUAUAUAGCGCUAUACUCUAUAUACCCCUUAUAUAUAUGAGUUAGCCACAUCCGUAUUGGGUGUCGGGCAGUUUCCACCAAACAUUGUUUUACAACUGCGUCCUCAUGAGCAGUGUUUGUGUGUGCAUGGAGAGAGAGAAGUCUGUGUGGAGGGGAGCAUGUGGAUGGGCAAGAAAUGCAGGAGAGAGGAGAGAGAGACGCUGGCAGAGCGCCUGCAUGCCGGCGAAAUUAGCCCCCCCCCCCCCCCCCCCCCCCCCCCCCCCCCCCCCCGCCCCCCCCCCCCCGCUCCUCUCNNNNNNNNCCCCCCCCUCCCCAUGUGCCCAGCUUCCUGGAUUUGCCUUUGGGGCCGCUAACGCAUUUUUGAUCAAAUACAGCGAAAAUUGAGAAGGUGGAGGCGCGACUCGACGAUUUUAUCAACGUCGAGGGUUAAAAAGUGUUUUGAGGAGGACUGUUAAGGGUGCGGCUGGAGAUGCUCUAAACAAGUAGUUCCUGACACAUUAUUACAAAGCAAGCUAAAAAGCUCAAUCCCACACACGGGAGUCUGAAACAAAACAAACAACUAGCAAUAACUGCACAAAACUAUCACUUAGCAACAGAUUCAAAGUUAGUAACUAAAAUAUCAAAUAGGCUCUCUACCUCUUUCAAGAUUAACCUAACUACUAUACACUCGUAAAACAAGUGAUACACUGACUCUAUCUCAGUACAAUGAACACAUUCAAGCUGCUUAGCCAGUUCUCUUUUCCUCUGAUUGUCAUAGACACUCACAGGUCAUUAUUUUGUUCUGAGAAAAUAACCAGAGAAAUCCCUCAACCCUGGGUGGUACAUUGAUCUUCCACACAACAGGCAAGAAGAUAGGUUGGACCCCACUAAAUUCACUAUUGCAUACAAAGAUUUACUGGAAUAAACACCUUUAGACUCAUAUUGCCAGAUCAAAGAGUCAUCCUCAUGACAGAACUUAGUGAGUUUGAUGAUAUUAACCAAAUCAAACCACUGAAUCAUUAGUUCAUUACAAAAAAUUAUCCUAAAUGUACAUUUAAGUUCUUGUCCGUCCCGAAGCUUUGAAAUAGUUAUAUUUUUCUCAUUGAUCAAAUAGUAUAUGUCCCAAAAUUGGAUGGCGAGAGGUGCAUUAGAGCAUCUCUAGCACACCCCAUAUUUUUCCGACCCGCAUAAGUCGUUUACAGUUCGACGAAGCGGGAUUUUGCGGGGCGAAAUAGUGCGCUGUAGAAUAGACCCCGUAUAUGAAACUGUAUAAUUUGAAAAAAACUUUCACGGAAGAAAUUACAACCACACUGAUCUUUUAUAGUUCAUCACAUACUACAUGAUCAUACAUGCUACAUUCUACUACUACUACUAUAGGGGGUUGGGGAUCUCGCCGGAGCUAACUAUCCUACCGCACUAAGAAAAAUAGAGCUUACCAGAGCUCGUGUUGUAGUUGUCCAGCAACAGCGCGGGCAAAAGGUUGUCCGCCUCCAUCGGGGGAAGGAAGUCCUCCGGCCCGACGACGCCCCCGGCACGUCGCUCCGGCCCCGUCCAUCUUCACCAAGGGGAGCUCCUCUAGCUCCCUCUUCACCGGGGUGAGGGAGGAGUGCGAGCUCGACGCCUUGAAGGAGUUGCUGCUGCCGGAGAAGAGGCGGCCUCGCACACGGUCGUACUCCUCUGUCUCGCGGCGGAGGAGCGACGGUGGUGGCGACCGGCCCCAGCGCGUGUAUCGUAGGGCGGUGCGCUUCCGCGCCGCGUCGUAUUUGACGCAACGCACCCUCUCGGGGUCAUCGUUGCCAUGGCGACUGAAUUUGGUCAUCUCGAGCGAUGGAUUGAAGGGGCGAGGCGACAGAUUGGAGGUGCGGGCGGCGGAUCUAAGGCGUCGACGGUGAGGGGUGGGGAGUUUUCGCGGUGGCGGUGGGAUAGGGUUCGGACCCGUAUCCAGCAGUCGAACCCGCACAUAUAGCGGUCGGGGGUCUCGUUUCCGAGCCACUGUAAAAAAUGAUCCAAACACAUAUAAUCGCCCAAAUUUUAAAGUUUCGGCAAUUAUACAGCUCUACUAGAGAUGCUUUUACCAUACCAAAUGUCUCCACAAAACCGAAUAAGUCUACCAUUGCCCACUGCGCAUUUUCUACCGCACUCUCACUGUCUGGCAGUGCCCACAUGAAUGUCUUCCAGAAUUGAGAAGAGUUAUUAUCAUGACAACAUAGGAUAUUAGGCCACUUUCAAUGCAUUGGGUGCUAAGAUGAGGUACUAAACACAUUAAAUUAUUUAGUAACUAUAGUCUUCAAUGCAUAGUUGCUUAGCUUAUUGUAGCUAAGCUUCCUUAUUUAAUGCUUUCGCAACUAAAGUUGUGUAUGCAUUGGUGCAUUUCUUUCAUUUAAUUCUUUGACCUAGGUUCACGCACUUAGCAUUGUUUCUUCCUGGGUCACCACACUUAUCUCUCUCCUAUUAGUUAGCUUGGCACAUUAAAAAAAUUAUCUACGUGACAGCCUUAGCACCUGUAUAAGAUGAAGCAUUGGGAGUAGCCUUAGGGCUUUUGCUAUUAUACUUACUAUCUAUCAGCGUCCUCGAGAAAGAACCUUCCCCAGCUAUGUAUCUUUUCACUCUAGAACAUAUCAAACAAAUGUCCUAAAAUUUACAACCCCCAUACCUCCAAACUCCUUCUUCAUACAUAUAAAAGGUGAGUUAACUAAGUGUUUAUUAUUUUGUCCUUCGCUAUCACUUCAUUGACACAAGAGCCCACUUGGGAAAUUUAACAAAGGACAGAAAAUAUUUUUUCAGAUAGGGGCUCUCUAUUACUUAAAAGAUUUAAGCACUAUACCCCACCCAUGUAUAGCCAAGAUGCACACAACCAAACAAUGUCUUCUCAUACAAACGAGAAUAAAAGGCGAAAUACAAAGAAACAUGCAUAGUCCGUAUAAUGCAUAAAGCGAAAGGGGGGUGGAUCAUGCUGCCACCCAUUUUUGGAUAAAACUACCCCUCGUCAUAGCCUGUAAUCAUGUACACACCUUCGUAAAUAGCUGUCGAUUCUCCAGACGGUGUAGAGAGAACAAUAAACAAAGAACCCUGAUACAUCUCUAGAUAACCUCCAUGAAAAAAGUAAUUUUAUUGUUAAAAAAUUUAUCGUUUCUACAUAGUCAAACCGACCAAGUAAUAGCCAUAGCAACCAAGUAACUUUGACCCUAAGAAGUGUUUUAAACCUAUGAUCAGUCGAAUGUAGCCAGUUGCAAAUACAUUAGUAACACUACAUGAAGGAUACAACUUAGAUGACUGACCAUAUAAAAUGAGCCAAAUUGCAUUGAAAGAAUAAAUGUUCUGUUGUGUCACUAUGGUGACAAAAGAUAAAUUGCAGACUAUCUUGACAAUUCCUCUUAAUAAGGUAAUCUUUAGUAAGAAUGACUCCGCGACAAAGAUACCAUGCAAAGAUAUUAUUCUUAAGUGUUAUCUUCAUCUUUUAGAUCUUCUUGUCAUUAUCAACUAUCACAUAGGUUUAGCAGAAAUUUGAUGUUCUGUUCAGUCAUGAUCUCACUAACUCCACUUGUUUAUGUUUACCAUUGGGAAGGGAACGUUGGAAGGCGGUCAUGUGGUUGCUGUGAAAAGGCUGAGCGAGGACUCAGACCAGGGAGCAGAGGAGUUCAAGAACGAGGCAAUUCUGAUUGCCAAGCUGCAGCACCGGAACCUAGUCCGCCUUCUUGGCUGCUGCACCGAGGGGGCCGAGAAGCUGCUCCUACGAGUACCUUCCCAACAAGGGCCUCAAUGCCAUCCUCUUCGGUACAUAUAAUGUUUAAGUCAUCACAACCGAAAUUACUGCAUUGUUUUAGCUUAAGUUUCAUAUGACAUGUUUGCUGCAGACAGUGUGAAGAAAGCGGUGCUGGACUGGCCGACGCGGCUGGGCAUCAUCAAGGGGGUGGCAAGGGGGCUGCUCUACCUGCACCAGGACUCGAGGCUGACGGUGAUACACAGGGAUCUCAAGGCAAGCAACGUGCUGCUGGACGCCGAGAUGCGGCCCAAGAUCGCCGACUUUGGCAUGGCCAAGAUCUUCGGUGACAACCAGGUGAAAGCCAGCACCCGGAAUGUCGUCGGAACAUAGUGAGUUAUCUUAACACCUGUAAAGAAAAAGAAAUUCUUCUUGUUUCGAAUUUAUUUGUUCAAGUCCUUUUUUUUUUUUUGGUUUUAAGUUGGUACGCCAUUUAAGAAAAUGGUGGAACCUCUUAUGACGAGAAAGUAAUGUGUGGACAGUGGCUACAUUGCUCCUGAGUACUCGACGGGGGGCGUCUUCUCCGUCAAAUCCGACGUGUACAGCUUCGGCGUACUGCUGCUUGAGAUCGUGAGCGGCACCAGGAUAAGCGCAAUCGACGGCAUUAUGGAGUGUCCUAGCCUGACAGUCUAUGUAAGCACCUGAACAAAAACUGAUAGUGUCAAACCAAAUAUAUACUUGCAGUUAGUUUCCUUUUGCAGUACACCCCAUAUCAUGAUCAAAUCCAUAUUCAUCUUUUUAAAAGGCAUACACAGAUGGUUGAUUUGAUUGCUUCAUGUAGGCAUGGAGCCUGUGGAGGGAAGGGAGGAUAGGUAAGCUGGUGGAUCCAUCCAUGGCAGAGAGCUGUUCAGAGGAUGAGGCCAUGCUCUGCAUCCACGUCGGGCUCCUGUGCGUGGAGGACGACCCGAGCAGGAGGCCGCUCAUGUCGUCUGUCGUGUCCAUCUUGGAAAAUGGAAGCGCGCCAGUGGUGGCAUCGGCGUCUCUUCCAGCGCCGAACCAGCCAGGGUACUUUAAAAUGAUAGGAGAGAAGAGCCAGAGAAGCGAUCUCGAGAACACCAGGAACGCCAUGACCAUGACAGCUCUUCAUGGACGGUAGUAUAGCAGUUACUGCAGCUUUCAUCAGAAGGGAAGUUGCGCUAGUCCUAGUGUUCCGUUUCUUUCUUUUUUUUACCGGGGAAGACCCCUGGUUCAUAGAGCAUUUGUCACUGAUGGAAAUGAAAGGUUUAUUUAUAGGAGUGUCGAGUUUAUCAGCCUUGAAAUGAACUCUGUUGCUGAAUUGAAAUCUUUACCAUGUUAGACUGAAAAUUAUUCAAGCAGGUCGCCUCAAAUCUAUAGCUGACGACCAAAAGUGCGUUUUACAGAGGUAAGCACUAGCUGGCAUAUCCCCUGAAACCAAACUCUACUAAAAAAAGUUAGUUACAUUCCUAAUAACCAACCCCGGAUGACUAUAUUUGCUCCAGUCGCGGCCUUUGGACUAAAGAUAAGAGCAUCUCCAGCGUUCGGCCCCCUAAGGCCGUGAAAUAGCGCCGCCUGAGGACGCGGCGGCGGAAAAAACAGCGUGGGAGGGGGGGGGGGGGGCUCGGGUUCCCAGCCAUCGAUUUUGGUCCAUUUUCGGCGUAAAUUGACCCAUUUUCGGUGCAAAUUGGCCCACUUUCGGUGGUCUAUAAAACUUAGCUCGAUUACAUGAUCUAUCUCAUCUAAUCCCACCAUCAUUCAGCAAAUCUACAAAGGAAUUACUCACUCCCAGUGAUGAGCAUCAUAGCGGUGUUGAUGAAGAAGGGUUGGUGAUGACGACGGCGACGAAUCCACCUCUCCGAACCGCUAAACGGACUCCAGAUUAGCCCUCCGGGGAAAGAACAAGAGGUGGCGGCGGUUCCGUCUCGUGAAACGCGAUGAAAACUUCUUUCUAAUUUUUUUCUCCGAAGAUGUGAUUUUAUAGGACUGGAAUUAGGGUCGGAGGAGACACAUGGGCCCCACAAGGUUUCUGGGUGCGACCUGGGGGUGGCGUGGAGGGGGGGGGACGCCCUGUUGUCUUGUGCCCCCUGGCACACCUCCUCCGGUAGGUCUUUGCUCCAUAAUUCCUUAUAAAUACCAGAAAUAAUUCAUAAAAAAUUUCGUCCGAUUCCGAGAACUUCUAUUUCUACACAAAAAUAACAUCAAGGUAGUUCUGCUGAAAACAACGUUAGUCCGGGUUAGUUUCAUUUAAAUCAUGUAAAUUAGAGGUCAAAACUAGAGCAAAAGUGUUUGUAAAAGUAGAUACGUUGAAGAUGUAUCAUCGGUCAACCGCAGACUCAUCCGGCAGAGGCAGGCGAAGGCCGACACCCGCUUCGACGAGCUCGGCGCGGAUAUAGCGGCGAAGGAGGCCGCAUCGGAGCAGUCCGAGGGGGGGGGGAGCUGUGGCUACACCCCAUGUAUCCGCCAAUGGACACGUAGAUCGUUGAAAUCUUCGAUGAGGAGUGGUAGUUAGUUUUCUACGUAGUAGUACGUAGGUUUCUUUGGUUGGCGAGAUGUCUGGGCGCGUCCGGUCACUCCCUGCGGUUUAUUUGAGACGUGCCCGAUCACUCCGUGUGGACGCACCCAAACGCGGACGCAGGUGUUUGAGGGAUCAUUUUUUGCUAUCCUUGGUUGUAGAUGCUCUUAUGUUGCAGAUAUACACGGAAGUGAUACAACCGGACCAGGGUGUGGUACGAUGGUGCUGGCAUUGGACGCCGACAUUGUUUGUGGACGUCGUGGCCGAAGUGGCCAGCCUACGAGGCUCUUUUUUUACCAAGUGUUACUUAGUACUCCCUGUGUCCCGAAAUUUUUGUCUUAGAUUUGUCUAGAAAUAGAUGUAUCUGAAUACUAAAACGCGGCUAGAUACAUUCAUAUUUAGACAAAUGUAAGAUAAGAAUUUUAAGACGGAGGAGUACUUAGUACUUAGUUUACAAGGAAUUAAGCCAAUUACCGGUGUUUUUUACAUUCGGCCUACUCCCUUUGUUUUUCUUAAUCUGCAUAUAAAAUUUAAUUAAAGUCAAACAAUAAAAAGUUUAACCAAAUUUAUAUCAAAAGAUAUCAACAUCUGCAAUACUAAAACUAUAUGGUACGAAACUUAAUAUCAUGAUGCACCUAGUAAUCUUCAUUUCAUAUUAUGAAUGUUAAUAUCUUUUUCCUACUAGUAUAAAGUUGGUCAAAGUUUAUGAAGUUUAAUAUUAUCUUCGUCCGAAAAUAUUUGUCUUAGAAAUGAGUAAAUGGAUGUUUGUAUAAUCAAAAUAAAUCUAGAUACAUUUAUCUUUAAAAUAAUUAUUUCCGGACGAAAAGAGUAUUAAUCAAAUCUUAUAUACAUACUUAAAAAAAACGGAGAGAGUACGUGUCAAGCCACACGAAGACUUAUGAUUAUCUGACUCAAGGUAGCUGCAUGCGCCAUGAGCCAACCCCCUCCAAUCCCCCUUCUUGCUCGUCUCCCUCUUGUCUUGCUCCAGGGCGCGCUAGUAGAGUGCACUGUAGCGGCACGCCACCCCAGCUUGUGGUGGAGAGAGGUCUGUGCGUUACUUCCGUAAUAAUUUCCCGUAGACGACCCCUCUGGCUCAACUGUCGUUGUAGAACUAAGACGGCGCGUACGUAUGACGCGCACACACCGGAGACCGGACCAGUUCACCAUGGGUGCAAUGCAUGCCGAAGAGCACUAGUCAGUCGUAUGACUUCACAAAGUCGCGCCAUCGUGUGGUGUGGCUACGUCGCCUUGCAUUGCAGCCAAGAGCAACAAGGUUCAUGCACUGCCCUCACGAAGUGCCUGCACGCACCUUGAAUUUGCUCAAUGGACCUGCCGCCACGUUCCGCUGCCGUCCUCGUCCUCGCCGUCGUCGCCGCCUGCCUCCCGUGCAUGUCGGCCGAGGACCAGCUGGCCGUCGGGGACAAGCUCCUCGCCCGGGAUACCAUCGUGUCCGACAGCGGCGACUUCGCCCUCGGCUUCUUCUCCCCGGACGACUCACCCGCCGCUCCCGCGAGACGGUGGUACCUCGGCAUAUGGUACCACAGCAUCCCCGGGCCUCAAACCGUCGUCUGGGUGGCCAACCGGGACGCCCCAGCCGCCGGAGAGCCUACGCUCGCGCUGGCCAACGACUCCAGCCUCGUCCUGUCCGACGCCGACGGCAGCGUGCUCUGGACCACGCCCGGCGUGGGCACAUCGUCCUCGCAGCCGGCGCCAGCCGAGCUCGGGAACGACGGCAACCUGCUCAUCCUGCUGCCGAACGGCACGGUGGUGUGGCAGAGCUUCGACCACCCGACGGACACGUUCAUGCCGGGGAUGAAGGCCCGGCUGAGCCGCCGGACGGAGAGGCGUGACUGGAUCGUGUCCUGGACAUCCCCCCGCGACCCGGCGCCGGGCCCCUUCUCCUGCGGCCUGGACCCCGUCACGUCGCUGCAGCUGCUCAUGUGGAACCGCACGCGGCUCUAUUCGCGCACCCCCGUCUGGACGGGGUACGCCGCGUCCGGGACCAUCGUCAGCGCCGGCAUGGUCAUCAACACGGCGAUAGUGGUCGUGGGCACCGAGGAGGAGAUCUCCAUCACCUUCACAGUGUCCGGCAGCCCGACGCCCACGCGGUACGUGGUGACCAGCUCCGGCACGUUCCAGCUCCUCAGAUGGAACGGCACCGCGUCGGCCUGGGACACGCUCCAGUCGUGGCCGUCCAGCGGGUGCACCACCUAUGGCCGCUGCGGCGCGUACGGGUACUGCGACGCCACGGCGGCCCCGCCGUCGUGCAAGUGCCUCGAUGGGUUCGAGCCGGCGAUACCGGCGGACUGGAGCGCCGGCAGGUUCGAGCAGGGCUGCCGGAGAACGCAGGCGCUCCCGCCGUGCGGCGGCGGCGGGCAUGGUUUCCUGGAGAUGCGGAGCAUGAAGGUGCCGGACAACUUCUCGCUCGACGCCGGCAACCGGAGCCCGGAGGAGUGCGCGGCGAGGUGCGCCGGCAGCUGCUCGUGCGUGGCCUACGCGUACGUCGACCUGCACAGCAGCAGCGCGCGGCAGCUGCGGUGCCUGGUGUGGGCAGGGGAACUCGUCGACGCACAGAUGAUCGGCGCGCCCGGCCAGACGCUCUACCUCCGCGUGCCCGUUGCUGCAACGUCCACAGGUACGGCUGAAAGAAAAAGAACAUAUGCUUUGUUGUCCGAAACUUUGUCAAAGUUAUGAUGAAUGUUUACUGAAUUGAAAACAAAAAAGUGGGACAUGGAUAUCCAGUGAACGUUCAAUUUUCAAUGCUCGGCAAAUCAAACGUUUUUCAUCGCAAGUUGUGUUUCUUGAGGGUUAAAAGUUUAAUUUACGAGCAUGAAAAGUCCGUCUCAGUUUAUUUUUAUUAGAAAAUUAUUACAAUUGCAAGCUAUUUUUUUACAAGAAAGCCUUCGGGAUAUAGCUUUAUUCAACUUCAGAUAGUACUUACAUAAUCUGUUAAAAACUUCAAAAUGAAAUCAGGGGUGCGAGGCAGGAGGAUUAACACGUCUCUACUUAGGCCCUGUUUGAAACCAUAAUAGAUUAUGAUAAUCUAGAUUAUGAAAAUAAAUUAUAUAAUCUGGUUUAUAAAAAAAAUCUAGGUGGACAUGUUUGCAGACCAGAUUAUAUAAACUGUAAUCUAGGUUUUACAUUGCAUAAUAAUGACCCGUCUACCCUCUGUUUUUUAAAAAGAGGUGGAUGGCGGUGGUAGGAAUGUAAUUAUGUUUAACUUUGCAAGGAUAAUGGGUCAUUAGCAAUUCAUAAUCCGAUUUUACCUGGUGUAGAGUAGAUUAUAAGUUUUUAAUAAUCUAUCCAUCUAGUUUUUAUAAUCUACACCAUAAUUUGUCCUGUUUGGAGACAUAAUAGAUUAUAAAAACUAGAUUGUAUAAUCUGGAUGGUUCCAAACAAGGCCUUAGCUACCUCGUGAGCAACUAUGUUUAACUCCCUAACGGUGGUGGAGCUACAACCACAUCUUUGGGCGAGCUAAAACGGAUCAACUUAAAAAAUAAUACAUUAAUACAGUAUACAUCUGAAGUUUUGCUCUUAGGCCUCUCUCAAUGCUUCAUUUCGUAUAGGUGCUAAGGCUAUCAUAUAGACGAAAAAUCUAAUGUAGUAAAAGUAAUUUAGAGGAGAGAGAUGAAUGUGGUGACCUGGGAAAAAACAACGUCAAGCACGUAAACCUAGGCAAAACACUUAAAUAAAAGAAAUCCACCAACACAUGAACAACUUUAGUUAAUAAAUCAUUAAAUAAGGAGGCUUAGCUACAACAAUCUAAGCACCUAUGCAUUGAAGGCUUUAGUUGCUAAACUAUUUAAUGUGCUUAGCACCUAAUCUUAACAUCAAUGCAUUGAAAGUGGCCUUAGAGCAAGUACAAUAGUCCUAUUCAGUAGGCUACAAGGGAUUCCACCUCACCAAAAAUCUGAGCUGGAGGAGGGUAAAGACAGGAGAGAGAAGGGAACGGGCGUUGUCGUGGGUAUAAGCCUGACAGUAGAUGUGUAGGAUACGAAAAGGAUGGGCAGAGUCCUAGCUACGGCGAGGAUGUAUGAGUUCAGGCCCCUCUGCGAUGGAGGUAAUAGCCCUACGUCUCAGUUCUCAGGGAGCUUUGUUGUCGAGUGGAAUCAGGAAUACAAUGAGUUGCUAACCUCUUUACCAGUGGGGGAGGGUGGCUUAUAUAGAGUGCGCUGCCCUCCACAACGGUUCCGAUACAGGGGUGGAGUAGUGGCGAUUGAAUGUGUACGUUACAGGUAACCUACGCCCUAAAUGCCAAUAAAUGCACCUGGAAACGUACGACCGUUUCCCUCCAGGGGGUUACGAUGUACCGAGUGGUAUACAGUCGGUUAGCCUGAUAUGCUCCGAAUGCUAGUCUCCGACUGGACGAUCGAGAGUAAAUUACCGACUGGAUGACAGGGAUUCCUUAAUUCAGUCGGAGCUGACUAGGGGUCUAGUCCUUUGCGAGGGGUGGUCCUUGGAUAAGACCUACAGGGCAGGCCUAUGACCCUACCCUAGUACUAUAACCCCAUCAGGCGCUUCACUAGUCGCCCGGCUGCAGCACAAGACCCGAGAAAGUUUAGCCCACUUGGAGCUCGAAGCCGGCGACAGGGCCACUGCUCCCAAUCCCCUGCGUCUCACCAUCCAAUCAACUGCUUUUUUCCUUUCUUACCAUGCAUGCGAACAUUGAUUGCCCUGGCCUCAACAGCUCAUAUAAAGCCAACCUUAUUACACCAGACUUCUUCUACGAAGGCUAUUGUUGACAUGGCACCGAUAUACAGCCGGUAGCCGGCGUUUCUAUUAACCAUGCUCUUAGGGUCCAAAUUCAGCACCAGUCUUCAUUAAAUUUUCAUUAAGCUGGGUGGGCCAUGUCUGGUUUUGCCCAGCCAUAGCUCCGCCAUUGCUCCCUAAUUAAUACAAUGCUCGUAGUAACCUUACCAUGAUCACGAAAACAAUUUCGAAAAUCCUGACAACGCUGCCGUCAUCAUAGAAUGCUCGUCAUUUGAAUUUAAAGCUUGUACCACAAUGGGGUUACUUAAACUCACCAUUAGAUUGUUACAUCCACUGAUGUGUGCAAGUUUGAAACCUUCUAGAAACGUCGCGGCCUCGGUUGAGACUACACCCGCUACAUGUUCAAGUUUUGCGGUAGAAGCUGAGAUUCCGAAUGAUAUAUAGCUCUACAUGAACCAGAAUAAUUUUUCGUGCUUGCAUACUAAUUUUACAUCAUCAAAGAAUUAGCCAUGGACGGGGUGCGUGGAAGCUUGCUAUUCAUGUGCCAGAACCAUGAGUUGGUCGCGAGAUCUUAUGGGUUUCACCUCUAGCCUAUUUCAACGUGUUUGGGACUAAAGACUUUGUCGUCGUCGUUGUUGUUGUUGCUGCAUACUAACUUUGCAUCCCGGCGCCAAUAUAAAUUGUCAUAAAAAUUGUUUAAUUUGCCAUGUUUAAAAUUUGACGUAAGAUUCUUAGUCUUAUCGCCCUUUCAUGUGCAGGUGGAAAUGCAGUGAAAAUAGCAGUGCCGGUGGCAGCAUGUGUGCUGGUGCUCACAUGCAUUUUCUUUGCAUGGUUCUGGAGAUUCAGAGGUAUAGUUAUACUUUUAGCUCUAAACAUGUCAUACUAAAUCAUUCUUAGACAAAAUGCUCACAGCAUCAAUUUUACAGGCAAUUUUACAGACAAGAGGAGGAAAACCGAGAGCCAGAAGAAGCUAAUGACUGGCAGCGCGAACACCCCGAGCGAAGUCGGCGAAGGAGAUCACACUGGUGACCUUGAGUUCCCCUCCUUACGGUUCGCCGACAUCGUCGCUGCCACGGGCAAUUUCUCCAAGACAUUCAUGAUCGGGCGCGGAGGCUUCGGCAAUGUUUACAAGGUAUACUAACUUUUACCUCUCUUUCAGUCCUUCGGCAAGGUUUUCAAGGUAUCCUGUUUUGUGAGUUUAACACAAAAUUCACUUUUUUGUUUUACAAUUCGGAAGGGAACAUUAGACGGUGGACAUGUGGUCGCCGUGAAGAGGCUGAGCAAGGAUUCAGAUCAGGGAGCAGAGGAGUUCAAGAACGAGGCGAUCCUCAUCGCCAAGCUGCAGCACCGGAACCUGGUGCGCCUCCUCGGCUGCUGCACCGAGGGGGCGGAGAAGCUGCUCAUCUACGAGUACCUGCCCAACAAGGGCCUCGACGCCAUCCUCUUCGGUACAUACCAUAUGUUCAUUACAACUGAAAGUACAUAAUCUUUUUUACGAGUGAAAUACACCGUUAGUCCAUUGACUCAAAGAGUUCGUACAGUUUAUUAGGUAAGAACAGGCAAAAACUCAGGAAAUCAUCAAUUUACUCAUUAAUUUAACUAGUUUAAGUAAUCAGAUUAAGGACAAAAACGAUUCACCUUGUUUAAAGAAAUUCGAUUCACCCCCGAAAAACCACACACGUGGCUGCCAUAUCAUUGUACAUGUGUUCUAAAUAAGUUUAAUAACUAAAUUAAUCACUUCGUGAGUUUUUGGCCUAAACGGUACAAUUACAAACAAUUUAACUUAGAGCAUCUCCAACAGGCGCCCAAAAAAGCUUCACGCGUUAAAAGUUUAUUUUUUGGGCGCCGAACAGUUCCAACAGAUGCUGUAAUAUACUGCACGCGUUAAAAAGAUUUGGGCACGCGCUGAAAAACGCUAUCGCGCACAGCAUAUUUAGACGCCGGAUUGUGCGCCCUUUAUAAUUUGCACUGCGUGUUUUUUUUGUGCGUGUUUUUGCGCGUCUGCUAAAGCAAUGUUAGUCCUGACGCAUUAAAAGUGAUACAGCGCUAUAACUUUUAUUAGACGCGAAAUUUUUGUGCGGGUGUUGAAGAUGUUCUUAAUGGACGCAAUUCAUCUCUACUGAUUUUCAUUAUAGAAAACCAAUGGCUUAACUACUAAAAGAAGAAAAGAAAGAAGGACCACCAGACCCAAAUCCUUCACAGAGUGGGAGGGGCAGCAUCCCAAACUAAACCUGGGCAUAUCCCGGGCCAGGCUUUAGAAAACCCAAACUGAAAAUCUCAAGCCCGAGCCCGGUCCGAUCCGGUCAAAAAAACCAAUUUUCAGCCACCGAGCACGGCCCAAAUGGAUUAAAAAGAUGAAUUCCGGGUCGCGCCUGGACGGGUCGGGUCUCCGUGUAAAAUGAUGAUUUUCCAAAGCCCGAGCCCAUCCCAAACUAUUGCCCGAGCCUAGUUUCCAAGCUUGAACCCUUCCCAAACAUAAAGCCCGCUCCGGCCCGGCCCGGGUUUUUCGGGUCGGGUCACCGGGCAAUGAUCGGGCUGCCCAUGCCCAAGUUUAUCCCAAAUCAUGCAUAACUUCUUUUCUUCACCACCUCAACUUUGAAUAGCCCCCUCAACAAUCUUAAUGAAGCUCCGUUACUGCCCACCGGGACCAAAUUUUUGUCAUGCUUGGGGAAGGUUUUAAUCCAUCUAGAGAAACAAUCAUUUAAAUACACAGAAUAAAACAAACAUCAAAUGCACAUUUUAGUAAAUUCCACACCAAUUUAGCAUUAGAGUAGUUGAAAAACAUAUGAGCAAUGGUUUCCCCUGGCCAUUGAAGGCGCAUCCUUUCUCUCUUUUCCAUCUUCUUUUUAACAUGUUAUCUUCGGCCGGUAUACUUUUUCUGUUUACUAAGCAAACGUAAACUUGAUUUUACGAACAAUUUUAAUUUUCCACAAAAAAUUUCGUGGAAAUCCACAUCAGUCAACACCCACUUAAUUUGACCCUUCCGUCCAUACAUUUGGAUCUCCUCACAUCUGGCUUCCAAACUUUCCCAAAGAGUUAGGCUCUCUCUCGAGUCCCCGCAGAGUUCUUCAAAAGGAGAUAUCAUCACACCCCUUCUCAAUAGCAUCAGCUACCGAGAUAUCAUGGUUAAAGCUGACCAAGUAUAAUCUUGGAUAGGCUUCUUCUAGGCCUUGUUCGGUUGCCGUGGUUAGAUUCCACGAGUGAUUUCUAACCUCCUAGGGAUUAGGUGAUCUCCUACUUGUCACCCAAUCACCGCUAUUCCUCAUCCACAUGAAUCCUUCUGACCAAAACAUGUUCAGUUACUCCCUUUUCUAAUCCAUCCAUAUGAAUCAUUGCCCCUGUCAACGUCAGGUCAGAAUCGGUAGAGGAGAACGGGAAGAAGAGGAGAGGACAAGAAGGAGACGAGGCUUACCUGAUAGGAGAGCAAGGAGGGGUGGGGAAGUAUGUCGCCAUCAUCGCCUCCGGAUGGCCGCGCCGUCGCCGCCAAAUCGCGGGAGAGAGAGAGAGAGAGCCCGGGGAGACAUGGCUCGAUUUUUUUUCUUCCGACAUACAGAUUCGCCCAUCGGGAGGGAUUGGUUCCACGAGUAGAGAUGCGAGGAUUUUAUCCCAGACAGUUCCACGUGGUUUGAGAGGGAUUGGGCGGGGGUGUAGCCCCGACCGGGUUUAAUCCAACAAGCUCGUAAGCAGGCUGGGGUCGGAUCCCGGCCGGGCCGAAACCACGGGGUUCGGCGGGGAUUGGACACCAAUCCCGGCGGGGGAGGGGCUAACCGAACAAGGCCUUAGGGGUUUAUCAUCCAUCCAUCAAUCUUCCCAAAACCUAGUAUUUUUUUCAUCACCUAAUUUUUUCUUUACAUUGCUGAUAAAAGCAAUAUUUCAAUUCCAAAAUACUGGACCAGAAGUGAGAGUCACCCACUUCAGGUUUUAUACCAGAUAGACAAUUAUCUUUCACAUAUUUGUUAAUGAGGACUUCCCAGUUCCCACCAUAAUCCAUUUUCAGUUUCCAGUCUCCAAAACCACUUGGCUAGUAGGGAUUUGUUCAUUAAUUCUAGAUUUAUACUUGCUGCAGAUAGUGCGAGGAAAUCGGUGCUGGAUUGGUCGACACGGCUGGGGAUCAUCAAGGGCGUGGCAAGGGGGCUGCUCUACCUGCAUCAGGACUCAAGGCUGACGGUGAUACACAGGGACCUCAAGGCCAGCAACGUGCUGCUGGACGCCGAGAUGAGGCCCAAGAUCGCCGACUUCGGCAUGGCCAAGAUCUUCGGCGACAACCAGGUGAAAGCCAACAGCAAGCGCGUCGUCGGCACAUAGUGAGUAAUUUGAACACUUUACUGAAUUUACAGAGAGAAAAGGAAUUUUUUUGUGUUAAGUUGGUACAUAGCAUUUGACGAAAAUAAAGUGUGACAGCUCUUCUAACAAAAAAUGUGUGUGCCGACAGUGGCUACAUUGCUCCCGAGUACUCGACGGAGGGCGUCUUCUCCGUCAAAUCCGACGUGUACAGCUUCGGCGUGCUGCUGCUGGAGAUCGUUAGCGGCGUUAGGAUAAGCACAACCAGUGGCAUCAUGGAGUUUCCUAGCCUGAUAGUCUAUGUAAGCACCUGCAUUUACAAUUUUCUUCAGUACAGUCCUCUUUCUUGUGAUCGAAUCCGUAUUUGUAAUAGCAAGAAAAGGAACAAUUCAUGGUUGGUUUGAUUGUUUCAUGUAGGCAUGGCACCUGUGGAGGGAAGGGAAGGCAGGCAAGCUGGUGGAUCCGUCCAUGGCAGAGAGCUGUCUACAGGACGAGGCAUUGCUCUGCAUCCACGUCGGGCUCCUCUGCGUGGAGGACGACCCGAGCAGGAGGCCGCUCAUGUCGUCCGUCGUGUCCAUCUUGGAGAACGGAAGCGCGUCGGUGGUGCUGGCAUCGGCGUCUCUUCCGGAGCCGAACAAGCCAGGGUACGUCGGAAUGAUGGAAGAGAAGACCCAGAGAAGCGAUCUCGAGAACAGCAGGAACACCAUUGCCAUGACCGUUCUGCAAGGCCGGUAGCACAGUAGGGACUGCAACUUUCUUCUUCAGAAGGAAAGGUGCACUUAGUUCUAGCGUUUCAUUUUCUUUUCUUUUUUACCGUGGGAAAAAACGGAUUUGUAGAGCAUUUUUUACUGGUACAAAUGAAAUAUGUAUUUACAGGAGCGUUGAGUUGAUUUGAUGUGUCUUGAAAUGGAUGGUAUUGGUAUGAAUGUCUUGCUGGAUUUGAAUACUUUAGCUACUUGGAUGGACUUCCAGAAAAAAUUUCAGAGAGCUUCUGUAUUUGACAUUCAGAGGUUGAGAGAAACAAGUAAUUAAGCGGAAGAAGAAAGAUGCCUUGAUUAAUCUGAAAAAUAACCAGAUAUUACACAAACACCAUCUUUUUAGUGUACACACACCAACUCAUCAUCUCGACUCGCCCUCACAUGCAAAAUCUAUCAGUCCGGAAAGACAUGCAGCACAGCAGCAUCCAUCAGCAAUGAAGUUGUCGGCCAAGCGCGCGCGCGCGCGCUAGAGGUUGAGCUGACUGAGCUCACUUGCCGGGAACGAAGUUGGUGGCGAAAGCCCAGGCGUUGUUGUUGACGGGGUCGGCGAGGUGGUCGGCGAGGUUCUCGAGGGGGCCCUUGCCGGUGACGAUGGCCUGGACGAAGAAGCCGAACAUGGAGAACAUGGCGAGGCGGCCGUUCUUGAUCUCCUUCACCUUGAGCUCGGCGAAGGCCUCGGGGUCCUCGGCGAGGCCCAGGGGGUCGAAGCUGCCGCCGGGGUAGAGCGGGUCGACUAUCUCGCCGAGCGGGCCGCCGGCGACGCGGUAGCCCUCGACGGCGCCCAUGAGCACCACCUGGCAGGCCCAGAUGGCGAGGAUGCUCUGGGCGUGGACGAGGCUGGGGUUGCCGAGGUAGUCGAGGCCGCCCUCGCUGAAGAUCUGGGAGCCGGCCUUGAACCACACGGCCUCGCCGAACUUGACGCCGUUGCGGGCGAGCAGCUCGGGGAAGACGCAGCCGAGCGCGCCGAGCAUGGCCCAGCGGCAGUGGAUGACCUCCAGCUCACGGUUCUUGGCGAAGGUCUCGGGGUCAGCGGACAGCCCCGCGGUGUCCCAGCCGUAGUCGCCGGGGAACUCGCCGGUGAGGUAGCUCGGGGGGUCGCCGGAGAGCGGGCCGAGGUAGAGCACGCGGUCGGAGCCGUACCACGGGCUGCUGGACGCCGCCACCUUGGGCUUGCCCGCCGUCUUGCGCAUGGUGAUGCGGCCCUCGCCGAAGGGCGCCGCCCUGGAGGCCUUCACCGGGGUGCCGGCCAUCGCCGGGGAGGAGAGCGCCAUGGUCGCCGCGGCCGCCAUCGCUCGCUGCGUGCUAGCUAGCUAGCCUUGCUUCGAGUGAGCUGAGGCUGGCAGUGACAGUAGGAGGCGCUGGUGGUCGUUGGUGGUGAGGAGUGAAGCGGGAGCGCGCCGGGUUUAAAUAGGAGGAGGGAGCGAUCGGGUCCUUAUCCCGGGGAAUCUUAUGCCGAGUCGCCAUUGGCGCGCGGGGCGCGAGGCGGGCGGAUGGGGCGGCUGAGGUGGCCGCGCGGUGGCCACGGGAGCGGCGGAGGUCGGGAUUUUUUGCGGGGUUGUGGUGGAUUUGGCGCGGUGGAGAUGAGCCGCGAGGGCGACGGUGGGUCGCGGCCGCAGCCCACAUGGCCGCGUGUGGGGCGGCUCGCCGAUGUGGCCGCGCGCUGGCCAGGGGAUCUCCUGCUCACCGCGCCGGGCGGAAGGGGACGGAGGGCGAUGAGUUUGGCCGUUGCGCGCGGUGCAUUCUGAGGCGUGCCGCUGGCCGGAGGACCCCGGGAAAGAGAUAUCUGCCGUUGGCAGGUUGUGCCGGCGACCUACGUGGCCGACAUCUACUGGUUUCACGACUUCACGAGGUGCCCAAUCGGAACGGGUUCAGGACUAGCUCGGAACUGCCGUUUUAUUUUUCGAUUUGCACAUGCAUCAUGUAAAGAUCCUCUGCAAUGGUUGAAGUUUAAAAACUUUUAUCUUUAAAACCGUUAAUUCAAUCGAUGAUCUCUUUUCAUCGUUGACUUUGUCACGACAAGAUCUUCGAAACUAGAUCUCAUGUUGACAUGUUUCGACAAACUUUUUUUUUCUUCCAUAAUUGCUACAUUUUUCCACUCACUUGCUAUAUUAUUAACCACUUACUUGCUCAAUAAAAAUAACUUAAUUGCCAUAUUUUUUUAUGUCGUUUCGUGCAAAGAUUAUCGAUGCUUAUAAAUGCAGUCCCCAAAAUGUUUUGAUGUGUUUGUCAUUUUUAUUCUACUAAGUUGUCAUGUGGUCUCAUAAAAGCUUGUAGGUGCUUAUAAAAUCACAGUUUCUACAUAUAUUUUUUGUGCUUGUCAUUUUAAUCCUACCUCGUUAUCAUAUUGUCCCAAACAACUUGUGAGUCAUUGUAAAAAAAAUAGUUGUUACGGUGUUUGCUGUAUUUAUCUUUUGAAUUCUAUGCUCAAUUGUUAUGUUUUGUGGUAAUAAAAGGACAUUUGAUUGUUUUAAAACGUAGUUGUGCUAGUGUUGUGUUGUGUCGGUCAGUUAAAUUCUAUUAAAAUGAUAUGCUUUUAUAUCAUGUAUAAUAAAAUAUGUUACAAGGCUUUUGUACGAAAUAAUAUUAAAAAGUGACAAUCAAGUUAUUUUUUUAGGCAAGUAAGUGGUUACUAAUAUGGCAAGUGGGUCAAAAAAUAUGGCAAGUAUGAACAGAAAAAAAAAGUUGACGAAACAUAUCGAUAUGGGAUCUAGUUUUGAAGAACUCGUCGCGAGAAAGCCAAUGAUGAAAACGGAUCAUCGAUUGAAUUAACGGUUUUGGAGAUAAAACUUUUUGAAUUUCAAACAUAAAAAAGAAUCGCGGGUUGUCCUCCCGCCGCACGGCAAAGCAGCGCUGCGCAUGCUAUCAAUUAGAUUUUUCCUUUAUUUUUUAUUUCUUACCGGCAAAACGAUCCGUAUGUUGAAACGGAAAAAAAAUCAUAAUCUUUAAUGAACAUGAACAUAUUUUCCUGCAUCAUCAAGAUAAAAAAAUAUCACUCUCAUUUUCAUGAAAUCGUGGAUAGUUUUUAAAAAUACAGAACAUAUUAAACUCAUGAACAUAUUUGCAAUCGGGAAUAUGUUUCAAAUUCACAGACGUUUUUACAGAUUUUUGAACAUUUUCAAAGAUCAUGAACAUGUUAUACUAUUUUCACACAUUUUUUAAAAUAUAGGAAAAAUAUUAAACAUUUUUCCUGAAUUGGCGAACAUUUUUCUAGAACCGAAGAUCACUUUUUUGGAAAUUUGUCGGCCAAUUUCUGAAAUUCACCAACAUUUUUUUGAUUUUAAAAUUAUUUUUUGAGUUCCAUGAUCAUUUUUUGAAUCAGCGAACAUUUUAUGAAUCAUAAACUAUUGUGUAAUUCACGAUCAGUUUUUGAAUUUUCUCGAUAUUUUUCAAUUUAAGAACAUUUUUUGAAUUGUAUUUUUUUCAAUUGAUUAUUUUGUUAACAUAUGAACGUUGAUAACAAAUCAUGAUUUUUUUUUGGAUUUUCCGAACCUUUGCUACCAAAAUUAUGAAAUUUUUAUGAAUAGGUGUUAUUUAAAAUUGCAAAUAUAUUUUUUAAUCCACAGACGUUUAGAAUUAUUAAACAUUCUAUUACUAAAAAUGUAUUUAAAAAAUUCGGAAUUUGUUUGAAGUCCUGAAUUAUUUAAACUAGAAAGAACAAAGACGGAAAAGGAAAACAAAAUUUAGAAAAUAGGACACCCAGAUAUGGAUCAGCCCAAACAAGUGCGACGUGUUUUCUUCCAGCACACAGAGCACAGUGUAAGAGGUUCCUACUUGAUGGGCCAGCCCAAACGGGGAUUCCCUUUGUGAAAUGUUUGUUAUCACUUGUGGCAACGCUAGGUAAUAUUUUACAACUUUAAAGGUAAUUUAUGUGAUGCACCUUAAGAAGCACUAAUGCCUUUAUUAAUAUAGGUAUAUAUAUAUGCAACAGACUGUUUACACGUGCAAUCAAGUUUUGCAAGUCUUGGGCCUAUAUAUAUAUAUAUAUAUAUAUAUAGGCCCAAGACUUGCAAAACUUGAUUGCACGUGUAAACAGUCUGUUGCAGUUACUUUGGUUGUAGCCUAGAGAUGUGAAAUGUUAUUUCAACCAACCAGAAGAGAGUGCUUGAUACUUGUGAUCUGCAUUGAGUUUUUUAUAAAGAGGAAUGGAUGAUGCAUCACAGUAUAAAUGGUAAAUUGUAAUGCGUGCUCAAGUUCCGCAACACACCCAAUACAAUGACAAAUUGCAUAGGCGAACUAGUUCGGCGAAGAGAUGUGAUACAAGUGUAGUAUGGAUAGUAUAAAUAUAUUUUUAUAAUCCGAAUAAGUAAAAAGAGCGAGGCAACAAGUAGUAAACAACGAGAAAAACGGUAUAUUAAUGUUGGAAUUAUGCCCUAGAGGCAAUAAUAAAUAUAGUUAUUAUUAUAAUUCCUGUAUCAAGAUAAUAGUUUAUUAUCCAUGCUAUAAUUGUAUUGAAUGAAGACUCAUUUACAUGUGUGGAUACAUAGACAAAACACCGUCCCUAGCAUGCCUCUAGUUGGCUAGCCAGUUGAUCGAUGAUAGUCAGUGUCUUCUGAUUAUGAACAAGGUGUUGUUGCUUGAUAACUGGAUCACGUCAUUGGGAGAAUCACGUGAUGGACUAGACCCAAACUAAUAGACGUAGCAUGUUGAUCGUGUCAUUUUGUUGCUACUGUUUUCUGCGUGUCAAGUAUUCAUUCCUAUGACCGUGAGAUCAUAUAACUCACUGACACCGGAGGAAUGCUUUGUGUGUACCAAACGUCGCAACGUAACUGGGUGACUAUAAAGAUGCUCUACAGGUANNNNNNNNNNNNNNNNNNNNNNNNNNNNNNNNNNNNNNNNNNNNNNNNNNNNNNNNNNNNNNNNNNNNNNNNNNNNNNNNNNNNNNNNNNNNNNNNNNNNUCCUCGCCUCUAGCUCGCGCACCCCUCGCCGGAGUCGGCACCAGAGAGCUUCACCCAGGAGCUCCUCCAUCGCCCCCCCCUGCACGCUUUCCCCCUGCCGAGCCCACCUCACCCCGCCACCACCUCCCCACCACUCGGCCCCCUCCUCCACCACCCCUCCACCCCGCUGCUGCUCCUCCCCAUCACCACUACCAGGCAGCCAGGAGCUUCCCCGUCGGCUCCCCCACAUGCAGGCUCCCUCCUCCCCCUUCGGCCCUCCCCCCAGGAGUCUCCACCGGCCCCUUCCCCACCCCUCGCCGGCCCCUACCCCACCCCACCGGAGCUCACCCCGUGCACCCCCUUCCCACCUCGGCCACAAUAGCCAGCCACGGGAGCAGCUCCAGCCACGGUAAGGCUCCACUCCCCCUCCUGUUUCUUUUUUGUUUUUAUGUAGUAGCCCUUAGAUCCAUAAUCUACGGUGUAGAUUAGGAAGUACUUACCCCUUCGGUUUUCUAAAAAGAACCGGUCCAUCAGUUAAGUGAACCGAAGCAUUUUCUUAUUUAGCGGCCAUCCGCUGUUUAGUCUAUGCAGCAAACACCCCUUAGCCAAUCAGGGACUGCCACGUAGUUAGUUAGCUUUUAUUCUGUUUUUUUUUCAGAUUUAGUUCAAAAACAGAAAGUUCCAAUCUUGUUUAGCCCAUAACUUUUGAUCCCGAAGUCCAAUGAUAGUGAUUCUUUUUCCAGUAGCUCACAAAGUUCCUGUAGUUUCUAAAAACAUAUAAUUUGUAUAUGUUUGAAAUUUUCGAAUAUAAGUUAGAUCAGAUUUAGUUUAAACAUUGUUUUGCCUAUUCCAGGAGUUUAAAAAUAUCUUUUAAUCUGAUUCCUUUUGGUACUGAUCACUAGUGAUCCUAUUUAUAAGUGGUAAAAAUUUCCAAUUUGUUUGAGUAUAUUAGCUCACUGUUUCUUGUGAAACAAUUUCUGUUUCAUCUCUUUUAGGAUUUCGGCUAAUUCCUUUUCUACUUUUGUUUUAAAAUAUUUUCUUUAUUAUUUCAGAAACAUUAUUGUUUUGUUUAUGUUAGUUAACAGUAGUUUUGGAACAAGUUUUUAUUUUAUUUUUAUUUGUUUUCAUGAAAUCAAUUCUAGUUCCUUAUUAACUUGCAAUUGGUUUCCGCACUGUUUCAAAUCCCGUUUGGGAAUACUUUCAAAAAGUUUUGUGAAAAAUACUUUAUUUUAUCUUAGUUAAACUUAUAUCUUAGUUCCUUGUUAUUAUUUUCUGUUAGACAAAAACUAGUUAGUGUUUGAUGUAGAAGAAGACUCCUAGUUUAGUAAAGUUUCUUUCGGAUUCUUAUUCGCUCUCUCUUUUGUUUUGAUUGCUAGAAUGAUUGCUAGUAUGAGUGCUUAUGUGAAUGAUAUGUUUGUUAUAUAGAUUCCCUCGGAGAGUGACGAGUAGUCUAUCAAGUUAUUUUCUCGAGAAAUUCUUCUUCGUCAACAUCACCAGGCAAGUCACUUUGAUCAUACUAUCACCUAUGUUUUAUGCAUCGUAGUUCUACCAUCCUAUGCCCAAAUUGCAUGCUGCUUAAGUACUUGGAAAUUUUAGUAUAGGUUGUAGUAUCAUGUGGUAGGCACCCAACAACCCCGAUACUUGGCCCCGGGACGACAAAUUUCAUAUUGCUAUGCUUGAGGAGACGGGAUUUCGGUUGAGUGCAUAACACAAGUGAUGCGAGGUUGAUUAAAUAAUCAAGACCGGUUAAGACAAGAUUUUCAAGAUCUUGGACACAAUGCAACUCUGGGUGAAGGACGGUUGAUCGGCUCCCUGGAGAACCCAGUGGAUGACCCGGGAUGCUGGAGAGGCCAUGACAUCCUGCGGAAAGCUUCACCCAGGCUCAAAGAGACGGACGGAUAUUUUCAAGACCCAAGGCUUACCUGCACAGCCACAAGUCAUUAUGGGCUCUGGCUUGGUUGGACAACGCGGCGACUCUGGACAGGCGGUGCUAGCAGAUGUAGAAGAAUGGUAUGAAUGGAUGGGCACCGACAGGGAUUCAGAGGGACCCGUUGAAAGACCAUGUUUUGAUCAUCCGGUCUUCAAACACCCUGAAGUGYGAGGACAUACACGGAGGCGAUCAAAUCUUGUGGGGAACGUGUGCAAAACUCUACAGAGUACUCAAACCUAAUCGAUUAGCCGUGUCCACGGUCAUGGACAACUUGAGCCAAAGGAACUGAAGUUAUCUGGAUUUCUCAACACCAUUAUAUAUAUUUGAUGAGGGUAAUUAUUGACAACUCGGGUACGAGAACUGGUUGGCGGAACCAUCUCGUUAACAACCAACCUUGUAGUAAUAUUUUUCUUUUAGCCCUCUUGAUGUUGGAGAAAACUUGCUUUUCGCUAAAAAACUUAUAGCCCCAGCUGCCAUAAAUGCAUAUAGUAUAGAUGAUUACUUUUCACCCCUCUCUUAUGKGACUUGCCAGCAUAUUCAAUAUGCUGACCUACACGGCURCAACAUCUUAUGUUGCAGAUAUUUUUCUUCGAUGAGUAAGAGUACGAUUCAGGGUUACGGUCAACCCUCAACUUGCCGUUGGUGUUUAUUGGGACUCCACUCCCUUGACUGCUUCCGCUGAGAUAUUUAAGGUAUACAUCAGUUUUACGCUAUUUACAUGUGAUUGCACUUUGAUAUAUACAUUGAUGUACUCUGUGUGCCAGCAUACUGAUCCACGGAUGGCACAGAAACACAGAGGCUUGACUCGUCUUGAGUCGGGUCGCUACUGAAAUGGUAUCAGAGCACAUAUUGACUGUAGGACGUGACCCUAGAAACUAGAAAUUUCUUAGGAAAGGAUCUCUCAAAAAUUUUAUUUUCAACAACACCUUUUACUUCUCAUCUCUUCUGAUUUCAUCGAAUGUUCCCUCUCACCUCAAAUAGUUAGACAAUACCCUUACCCCUUUGACCUCAUGAAUAAUCAACGGAGUUCUACUUCAAAUUAAAGAGGAUUUCCUCAUGCAAUUGAAGCUACACCAAUUGAAGACUCUCAAGACCCGAAGAACUUGAAGACCCCGAAACGUUCGAAUAUUUAUAUGACCAUUAGAAGUCCAAACCCCUGUUAUAUACCCACGUUAGAUACGAUGAUUUGUGAGCCGUCAUUGGUGUGUGUUUUUCGAUAGCCACAAAUAAAACCCAUUCUCAAAAAUAUUGUUUGUAUUGUGUGUAUCUCCCUCCCUCUCUUACCCGUCUCAUCCCCAAAACCUCAACCCUACCAGAUGGAGUAUGAAGCUGGACUUGUAGUCUCUGGACCAAUGACCCAGCUAGAGGCUGAAAUAUGGACUCAGAACAUGGAGAACCACUUCGGGAGCAACUUGAUCUCAAGGAAGUAUGAAGUGGAACACGCUCUCUAGUACUUUACCCAAAGUGCUGCAAUCUGGUGGAAAAUGCACCAUGCCAUACAAGGAUUUAGUGGAGCAGAAACCUGGGACGAAUUCAAGAACACCCUGUUAAGAUCCCGUCUCAUUCGGAAGUGCUAUGAUAAUCCGAAGGAGAAGACUUGUGCAUGCAAGAUCUAUGGAGAAAUAGGACACACCCAGGAAGAACACAAGGAUCGAUGCACUCAUUGUGAAGAAAAUCACCCAGCUGAGGAGUGCCCAAGUAGUCAGGUGACUUGUUUCCUUUGUGAAGGAACCACCCACUACCCAGCUCAGUGUCACAUUUACCCCAAGGUGCAACAGGUUGUCAAGCAGCAGAAAGAUGCAGUGAAGGAACCCCUCAAGAAGAAGAUUCUAGAAGAACCGAUGAUGAACGAAAAUAUUGAAGACCCUGAUGGACAAGGUCUGACCAGAUUUUUCUCCAAUGCAUGUUACUCAUGUGGAGAAGAAGGACAUUAUUCACAGGAUUGCACGAAGGAAAGCCAAGAGUAGCUGGGAAACUUCCCGACGGAAGAAGUGGAGUUUGAUCCACUUGAAAUAGAAGAACUGGCCAAAAUAAAGGAGUCCAGAAAGAAGAAAAAGUACCCUCGGAAGAACCAAAUCUCUGCAGACAUAGACCUGAGUCAUGUCAGAUGUUACAAGUGUAUGAAAUUUGGCCACCACAAAUACAUGUGCUCAGGAAGGAAGCCGGAAAUCCAAGGAGCAAAAGAAAAAGCUAAGAGGCCUCGAGACUUGUCAGAACUCAUUUGCUUUCGUUGCAAGGAAGCAGGACAUUUUGCUAGCGAUUGUCCACAAAGGAAGAAAGCUAAGAAGGAGUAGUUAAGUUUUGACCGCGGCACUUAGUGUAAUAUGAAUAACUCUUGUUUUUCAUGAGAUCAUGGAGUGAAAUUUUGUAAAGAAGUCCCUGAGAUUGUAAUAACAUCAUGAAUAAAUGGAAUUUAUUGUCUCAUGAUUGCCUAUGUUGAAACUGUAUGCGUUGUUUCUCUGCGAACAAAGAUCUCUGAACAUUUAUGAGGAUAUGAGAAAAUAUGGUCUAUGCAUGCAUGAGUAUUAUUCAUUUUAAGUGUGGUAGUAAUCGGUAAACCCACAGGAUCCACUGAGUAGGAAUGUACCAUGAUUACCAAGGAGACACAUACAUUCCUCUGAGUACCUAUUUACUGACACCUACAGAUGACACCUCUCUACGAGUCAUUCCUCAAGGGCCCAGAAACGAUCAUGACCCUGACCAGUGACCAUGAUUACCCGAAAAUCCUGAAGGACAUGAUGAAGCACAUUCACCUUGAAGGAGAUGCAGUCUACAAAGGCUACCCAUUUAUGGAAAAUUGAGUGGAACUUUGGUACGUGGAAGUACACCUCCACCAUGUGAAAGGAGUUUGUCCAAAGACUAUGGGGAAAUACUUUUUCAUUUCACGUGUACCGCGAGCAACCUUCUUUGAUGCUGUUCGUGAAGCUGCCAUGGAAGCCAUACGUCAGAUUGGAGAAAUACUUGAAGCAAGACUCCGUCAUACCCAGGAAUACCUGAGUGAGGUACGUGCGUAGAUGAUGGAGAUGAAGCUCAUGACCACCAUGAUGAAGCGAAAGAUGGAUGAUUUCAAGGAGUACCUCGGAAAGUUCGAGUGGAAGUACCUCCAAGAGAGACAGAUGAAUAAAGUUGGCAGAAAUGCUUGACCAUACCGAACAAUGUGGAUGGCAGCAUUUGUAAUAAAUUACUUUUGAGUUAGAAUUUUGAAGAAAGCAAGGAUGUAAUAAAGGAUAGAUUAUGUAAUGAAUAUGAUUUAUGGAAGAAGCUAUGAUGGAUCAGCAAACGUUUUCUUAGGAGCAUACGAAAGCCAGAGAGUUGUGGAGAUACGAUAGAUGUUUCGUUCAGCUUGCAGAACCAAUGGUUUAUCCGAACUUCGUUCGUGGACAAGAGAAACUCUGCAACGCUUGUGAGGAUGCCCAAGUGUUAGAAUGCGAGAUUCGCUAAACCUUAUACAGAGAAAUGAUUUGGGUGCGGAAUGGAUCGAUCACCAUGACGACUUACUCUUAUCAUUUAUCUUGCUAUUCAGAAUGGUAAAUCUGAGAGACUUACCCAUAUAGAGAGAUGACGUUCUUUGAAGCUUUUGUUUAAGACUUAGAGUGGUAUAAGAAAAGCCCAUGCACAUGGCACUUGUUGACACGCGUAGGAAAUUUUACGAUGAGAAUGAAACCAAGACCCCACUCUCUGCAAGAUAACCACAAAUGGUAUACCACCAUGAGAACCAUCGAUAUGUUAUUUAGAAUUGACCGCGAGACUGUCAGUUAAGAAGACCCAGUAAAGGAAGAAGCUUAUAUCAACGGAAGAACUCUCGAUUUUGAUGGAAAACGUUAUGAAUGUAACGAAAGAGCUUCACCAGAGGAGUUAGUAUGAAGACUGUGAGGAGUCAGAUGCCAAAACCCCACCGGAUUGUCAAAAAUCUUAUGGGACAAGUAAUCUUCAUUUUAAGUGUAGUAGCAUCCCACUUUGCUGGAAGUUGGAUUUGUUAGAAGACCCCCAAACCCUAACGUUUCUUUCUAGCCUCUUCGAAUCUCGAGGACGAGAUUCAUUUUAAGUGUGGUAGGUUUGUAACAUCCCAAAUUUUGGAAUGUUAAAAUAAUUAUUAGAUUGUUUGUUUGUUUGCUUGAGUGAUUGAAACUUGUGUGAAAUUUGAAACUUUUCAAAAACUUUUGAAUGAUAGGGAAUAAAAUGACUUUCCCCAUCUCUGAUGAAUUCAAAUUCAAUCUUUUAAAAGAAAAGAGAGAAGAUGACAUGACUUCUUCAACUAUAAAGAAUUUGAACGGAGUUUGCAUUUGAAUCCUUUCAAAUUAUUUGCCCUUGCUUCUAUAUUUUUCUUCCCCGAGAAAAUGCCCCGACAAAAUUCUUGCACGCAUGAAAGAGCGGAGGAAAAUGACCCUCCAAAAACCAGGGCCAUUGAUUGAAAUAUUUUGAGCCAAGAAAAAACCAAAAUUUAAUUUGAGAAAAUAAUUGCAAAAAUAAAUAAUGCUUUUAGGGAUUUUUUGGAAAAACAUUUUUUUAAGUUUUCAUUUUGGCCGUUGAAAAAUGCCCAUCAUUUAGAUUUUAUUUUUCUGAUAAUUUUAGUAUAUAGAAACCUUAUAUUCCGAAUUGAUUUGAUUUGCCUUUUAUCGUUUUAGUUUCCUAGUUUUGAAAAAGGAAAGAAAUCGUGUUUAAAUGGAAAUAAACGGUCGCCCAUUAAAACCUUUCCAAAAACUGGCCCAACAGGAUCUUCUUCUUCCUCUAUCUCCUUCCUCACGUGCAUAGGACCUUCCUUAGCCAUGGACAGAGAAAUCCUCACUUCCGGAAUUCGCGAAGUUCUUUCCCUCCUAGCCUCUCCCGUCGCCCCUAUAAGAAGGCCCCGGUCCUCCUCGUUCCAUUCCCGUUGGAAUCGCCGCCUCUCCCCACCUCCUCCCCCCCCCCUGUGGACCUCGGCGGAGUCGGCCACAGGAACUCGCCGGCGACCUUCCCCAUCGCCCCUGCACCCCCUCCCCACCCCACCGACUUUCCCCAUCGCCCCUGCACCUCCUCCACCACCCCACCCCGUCGCCCCCCUGCAUCCCUCCCCAUCCCCACCGAGCUCCCUGCCAGGAGUUCCCCGCCAAGACGCUAGGAGCACCGGAGCAGCCCCUGACGCCCCUCGCCCCUGCUCGACCAGGAGCUCCCAGGAGCCUCGCUGCCACUCCCUACGUCGCCCGCACCCCCCGCCGGCGACCCCACCCCGCCGGAGUUGCCCCCCCCCUCGCUGGAGUGCCUCCUCCUCGCCACUGCUUCUCUGGAGCACGAGGUAACUACCUCUCCUUUACYUUUUUUCUUUUUCUUUUUUUUCKUUUUAMUUAUACCAUUAGAUCUAGAAUCAACGCGGCAGAUUAGAAGCCCAGAUACCCUUUCGGUUUAGUUAAGAAAACCACUCAGAUUUCUAUUACAUUACUUUAGCCAAAGAGGUUUUAUUAGAUUUCGGCCGUCUGCUUAUAUGUCUCGCAGCAAACACCCCCUUAGCCAAUCAGAGAGCACCACGUGGACCCCCUGUUCACUAGUUGGAUUUUUUCUAUUUUCAGUUUAAUUCAAAAACAGAGGCAGAUUCAAUUUUCUUUUGAUCAUAACUUUUGAUCCACAACUCCAAUGGAGCUGAUUAUUUUUCCAGUAGAUCACAAUUUAUCUGUAGUUUUUAAAAACAUAUAAUUUGUCUAUGUUUGAAAUUUUCAAAUUUGAAUUAGAUCAGAUUUAGUUUAAACCUUGUUUUGCUUAUUCCAGGAGUUUAAAAAUAGCUUUUAAUUUGAUUCCUCUUGCUACUGAGCACUAGUGAUCUUAUUUAUCAGUGGUAAAAAUUUCAGAUUUAUUUGAGUAUUUUAGCUCAUUGUUUCUUGUGAAACAAUUUCUGUUUCACCUCUUUUAGGAUUAUGGUUAUUUCUUUUUUGUAAAUUGUUUUUAAAUUAUUUUCUUUCAUAUUUCAGAAACAUUAUUGUUUUGUUUAUGUUAGUUCACAGUUGUUUUUCAACAAGUUUUGAUUUUAAUUUAUUUGUUAUCAUGAAAUCAAUUCUAGUUCCUUAGUAACUUGCAAUUGGUUUCUCCACUGUUUCAAAUCCCGUUUGGAAAUACUUUCAAAUUGUUUUGUGAAAAAUACUUUAUUUUAUCUUAGUUAAAUUUAUAUCUUAGUUCCCUGUUAUUAUUUUCCGUUGAACAAAAACAAUUUAGUGUUUGAUGUAGUAGAAGACUCGCUAGUCUUAUUUGAAGUUUCCUUCGGAUUCCUAUUCGCUCUCUCUUUUGUUUUGAUUGCUAGAAUGAUUUCUAGUACGAGUGCUUAUGUGAAUGAUAUGUUUGUUAUAUAGAUUUCAUCAGAGAGUGACGAGUAGUCUAUCAAGUUAUUUCUCGAGAAAUUCUUCUUCGUCAACAUCACCACGCAAGUCACUUUGAUCGUACUAUCAACUAUGUUUUAUGCAUCAUAGUUCUACCAUCCUAUGCCCAAAUUGCAUGCUGCUUAGGUACUUUGAAAUUUUAGUAUAGGUUGUAGUAUCAUGUGGUAGGCACCCAACAACCCCGAUACUUGGCCCCGGGACGAGAAAUUUCAUAUUGCUAUGCUUGGGCAGACGGGAUUUCGGUUGAGUGCAUAACACGAGUGAUGCGAGGUUGAUUAAAUAAUCAAGACCGGUUAAGACAAGAUUUUCAAGACCUUGGACACAAUGCAACUCUGGGUGAAGGACAGUUGAUCCGCUCCCUGGAGAACCCAGUGGAUGACCCGGGAUGCUGGAGAGGCCAUGACAUCCUACAGAAAGCUUCACCCGGGCUCAAAGAGACGGAUGGGUAUUUUCAAGACUCAAGGCUUACCUGCACAGCCACAAGUCAUUAUGGGCUCUAGCUUGGUUGGACAACGCGGCGACUUUGGACAGACGGUGCUAGCAGAUGUAGAAGAAUGGUAGGAAUGGAUGGGCAUCGACAGGGAUACAGAGGGACCCGUUGAAAGACCAUGUUUUGAUCAUCCGGUCUUCAAACACCCUGAAGUGCGAGGACAUACACGGAGGCGAUCAAAUCUUGUGGGGAACGUGUGCAAAACUCUACAGAGUACUCAAACCUAAUCGAUUAGCCGUGUCCACGGUCAUGGACAACUUGAGCCAAAGGAACUGAAGUUAUCUGGAUUUCUCAACACCAUUAUAUAUAUUUGAUGAGGGUAAUUAUUGACAACUCGGGUACGAGAACUGGUUGGCGGAACCAUCUUGUUAACAACCAAGAAUGUAGUAACAUUUUGCUUUUAGCCCACUCUUGUUGUAGGAGAAAAACUUGCUUUUCGCUAAAAACUUAUAGCCCCACCUGCCAUAUAUGCAUAUAGUAUAGAUGAUUACUUUUCACCCCUCUCUUAUGUGACUUGCCGGCAUAUUCAAUAUGCUGACCUACACGGCUGCAACGUCUUAUGUUGCAGAUAUUUUUCUUCGACGAGUAAGAGUACGAUUCAGGGUUACGGUCUACACUCAACUUGCCGUUGGUGUUUAUUGGGACUCCACUCCCUUGACCGCUUCCGCUGGGAUGUUUAAGGUAUAUAUCAUUUUUACGCUAUUGUACAUGUGAUUGCACUUUGAUAUAUACAUUGAUGUACUGUGUGUGCCAGCAUACUGAUCCAGGGAUGGCACAGAAACACAGAGGCUUGACUCGUCUUGAGUCGGGUCCCUACAUCACCUUAGCUGUGCCAAGGGAACGAAAUCUGGUUGAUCGAGCGAGAGACAUUUAGCACUCCGCUUCUACUGUUCUCCUUGAUGUACUAGCACAAACCAAUUAUAGAUCAGGCUUGAUAUCUAGCACAUCAAGUAUAGGUCGGAAUUCGGGGCAUCAAAGGGAGUCCAUGAGGAAUAACUUCCAAAAUAAGUCAUACAAACCCUCACAGGGAGAUGGCUAAGAUUGUUGAUAGAAAAUAUAAUAUCAAAUCUUCCGCCUAGGUGUGUUAGCCACAACAUCACUUUACCGAGUUACAUAGAGACCAAUAUUAUAAUUCUUGGGGAAAGUUCCAACCAUUUUAACUGCCUGAGAUUCAGCUCCGGUUGGUGACACGAUGCUUCAGACUCAGCAUGUGUGAAAAGAAAGUUUGCAACACAAAUCGAUGGUAUAACGUUGCAAGAUUCUCAGGAAAUGAACUACGAAAGCCAACUCCAAAACAUGAGCUGGGUUGCAAGACACAUGUGAACACACUGCCCAAGACAAUGAUGACCACAUGAAAAGUCUUACAACAAAACACUACCGAGUUCUGGAUGGGGACCAUUAUUGCGGAUAACGAAACCAUGUGCAAGUCCGUUUGGUACCUUCAGGAAUGGCACUUAACUUCUUUUCCUUGAACAAAUCAAUCAGUGGCUUGGUGUGCUAGGAGAUACAUAUGGAGUGAUGAUGAUCAGUCUAUCAAACCAUAGAAUACUUCGCACAUGCAUGAUUGACUUGGGAUGAUUCCCAAGAAACAAAUUAACUUUUCUCGAAUUCACGGCAGCAACUUGCAUCAGAUGCACAUGAAUUAUGGGAAGUCACUUCUUACACCUAACAUAUACCUCGUGCUCGAGACACGAAGAUAAUGUCUACAAAGUUUCCAGGACUAGUUAAUGUCCAACAUAGAUCAUGGAACAAAUGAGAAUGUUGCCCAUGGGCUCAACAACAAUUCAUCAAGAUACCCAUAUAAAUGGAUUUCCACAACUAUGUGAGCAAGAUAAUAGCAUUGGUGAGAUCAAAGAAUACAAUAGUGUAGGCUCAAGGAAAACCCUGAGUACGAGUACGAAAAUCUUUGGUUCUGAGUUUGAUUUGACAAUAGCCCAUACUCAAAUCAAGGUUGGACAAGAUAAUAUAUGCAACAAUUGAUCACACGGAUCCACCGAUGACAAUAUAAUCUUUCUUCAAGAGUCUCACAACAGGAAAGAUAUCCCUUUAAAAUGAACUAAGUUUAGGCGAAGCUUUUAUCUUCCAACUCUCCAAGUUGUUGUUUAGCUUAACCAACUAGAUCGGGGUAUCCAACACGGAUUCUUGGAGAAAAUGGCUUAUAGAGAAACCAACUUGAUCACGAGCUCUUAUCAUAACACUCAGGAAACAACCUGGAAAUACUUCCGAGAAGAUAUUCGGAAAAUCACGAACCACCGAUAUAUUAUUAAGCUCGGGAAACAAUCUCGCUUUUCAAGGCAAGAUGAUGUGAUCAAUAGAGCAAGGGAUUGACACAAUCCGAUCCCAUCGAUUGAAAAGUGCACCAUGAAAUAUGGACUAGGUAGCACGGUCAAUCUUAGAAUGACGAUUCAAUCAUCAUCACCAUAAGAGUGAAUUUAUUAUCCAUUAGCUACCAAGCAAUAACGUUGCUAGGAGUAUUGAUUUCACACAUCAUGGUUCACUUGUCGAUAUUACAGUUACAACCAACACGGAAACCGAGGGAUGAAUAAUAAUAGCGAGAAGUAUCACUACAUGAAGAGCUCAUAAGAGAUGGUGCAAUUCGCACGACAUUCUUGACAAGAAGAGGGUAAUACUCCAAGAUAGGACAGAACAAAAGCUGGUUAGCAUUUCGAUCUGUGGAAUACAACUACUCUGACCCAAUCCAAGAAAUGGAUGAGGUACUGGAGUUUACUUCUCCCAGUCAUUCGAGAAUAGAACAACUUGACAAACCACGAAAUAGAAGACAUCGUUGACACGAAUGUACAACUACUUUUGACUAACCUCUCAAUGAUGAAGGUCAAAAUACAACUAGAUAGGGCCACCUCAAGAGCACAUGGUUUCUUGAGUUGUGGAUGCAUGGAUUAGCAUGUCGAACGGGUUCAACAUAAUUCUUCCAGAUAACCCAUGCAGAAGGGCGGAGUAGGAAGAAUCACAAUAUGGAGUAGAGAACUCAUCACGAGCACUCUUGUUAUGAUCUUUAGUUCACGGAGAACUUUUGCCAAAGAUGAUUCAUGGUGUUGGAAAAAUGAUAUACCAUGAACCUUGGGAGCUACAACAGGGUUACUAAUCAUUCUAAAGGAACUAGCAACACUAUCAACAGAGAUGAGCAGAAUGAUCCUUGGAUUCGAUGACCCAGAAAUAGAAUACCUAAAAACGAAAUAACAUCACGAGAUGUUUUUGAAAAUGAUGGCCAGAACUAUCACACUGGAAGACAUAGCACCCAUCUAGACUAUUGGGUAGUUUUCGGAGUAACAUGGUUUCCUAAUACUUCAAAAAAAACAUCGAGGUAAUGGAGUACCUCAACACAGUGAUUAGUGUGCUUUGUCUGGCCAAAAGACAUUAGAAAUAAGAGGAAGGAAGUUGCAAUUGCAACAGAUUAUUUAGAAACUUUGGAAAAGUCGGACAACAUAACGGCUGUGCGGGCAUGAAAUAUGAGGCACCCUGCAAGAAAACGAACAACAUAACAAUUGAAUUCUUAUGGAGACACUGAUCCAGGAAGAAAACAACUUUUCUAUAAGUCUCCAACAUAGUAACUCGUCAUCCUAAUGAAUACAUGAGAAAUCCUAACUAUUAAACCCCGUAGAAUAAAGAAGAGGAUGACUCAGAAUAAGAAUGACACAAGGAAAGGAGUAAAAGAGCCUUACGUUACCUUCCACAAACAAUUACCUUAUAUAACUAAAGAGUUGCUAGACUCAACAUCGACCAGUUUGGCUUGCUUAUCCUACAUGCAGUCAAUCUCUGAUACCAAAGUUGUCGGGAGCCCGAUCCUGAGUCAUAAGAACCCAACCUGUAACACAUCACAUCACUUUGCGGCCUCACGCACGGCAAACUCCACGGCUGCCACCUUACCUUGGCCCGGACCGUUUACAUCUUUUGGCUCACGUAUAUGAAUAUGUUGCUAGCGUUCAAACGACAAAGAACCUAGGUCGACAUGACUAGUUAUAAACCCAAGCGGUACAUCUGUACAGGGACAGACAUACAUAACCCAGCAAAGCAGGUGUCGAUCAACAACGUGUGUAGACGAGUCGUAGCAAGCUACAAGGACUCCAUUACACCGCGUGACAUUUCCCCGAGGGGACAGACACAACAGCAAAGAAGGAUACACGCCGGUCAAUCAAUGUGUCUAGAGCAGUAGAAAGCUACCAAGGCUCGAUAGAAGCACAAAGAGGCAUUUCCCUGUAAAGAGUACUACUAAAGGCACACAACUAGGUGUCGAAUCCCACACAUAUAAUGCAUUUCAUAACAUACACACAAUAUGCACGAUAUGUGUAGAUGCAACAUGGCAUCACAACAUAACUCUACGACUCAAGCUUUUAUUAAGGACUCAUAAGAAUCAACAUAGUGUGUUAUUACAAAAAGGGGUCCCGUAACCCGACACUCAAGUCAUACAAACAACAAGCAGAAGCAAAACAUGUCUGGGUACAGACAUCUACUAAAAAUUGUUGGAAGAGCCUGAAAAGCUACUACGACCCUACCAAAGGAGCCAGACCUUUGUCUGGGAUUCCCAAGCUAUUCCGGUCAACGUCGAACACAUCGCUUAGAACCUUAUAAUGAGUCUAAAACUUCUCUGCAAAAACAUAAAUAAAGCAACAGUGAGUACAAAGGUAAUCAGCAAGACUUACAUCAGAACUAUCUACAUAUGCAUCAUGUUUCAAUGGAAGGAUUGUGUGGUUUGAUUUCAGCAAGCCAGCUUUGACCCUUGGCUAGCCUGUACUACGACUAAAAGUUCUUUUUUUGAGGUGGGAUAGCGCACACGAGUCCACAUAUUCAUCAAUCAAAACACCACUAUGGAUUCACUCUCGUCUCCCUACGAUAAAGCCUUCCAUAGCACUCACACUUAUCUUGCAUGUUUUAGAGUAUCCAUUUAAAUUGUCUAUGUACCACGUAAUGCUUCCAAGUAGUCCAUAUCCGAGGACGUGGCUAUUCGAACAGAUUAAAUCACCCUACAUGGGUAUACUUCUUCACGCACGUUCCGACCACUUAUCACCAUGUGCAAGUCAUGCAUCUCGGCAACCUUCAAGCGGAAGCACUGGCGUGGGUGUCGGCCAUGACCGUUAACCACACAAGACCCUAGUCAAGGUUUAUCGCCUAUUUGUGACUGAACCCGCAAGGAAGUCCGGCCGAGGUUUCCUCUACGGCCCCAAACGAUGUGCGCAGUGUUCCCAAGCCCACCAUCCGGGUGCCACUUGAUACACCGUGCCACUUUGUAUCUACCGUAGAGAAGCCCACCCCGUCGGGCCGAGCUAAACACGGCCGCCAACACUUUUCCUACAAACAGCAGAAACUAGUUGCAACUCCUGGACAGAGAUCUAGGCGAUUAAUAACCCAAGAGGGUCAAUUAAGUAUCCCAAUUUGUGGUAGUAUCUUGUCUUGGAUAACAUACACAUAACUCAGUUCUUAAGGACGGUCCCAAUGAGACAACCCACCAUGUACUCCUAUAUGGCCUCUCAUCGCUACCUUUACCAAAUCGGAUUCACACUUUUACUCUCCCACUAUAGGACAUGAACACAACCAUUCUGAUUCAUCAUCCAGAUAGGUCAGACCCGACACGACUCUAAGCAUAGCAGGCAUUGUAAACAAGCAUGGAUGAGUAAGCACAACAAGACUCAAGCAGUUGCUACUCAUGUUAAGUGGUUUCAACUAUUUACUGUGACAAAAUCAGGUCAUGCAGAGGAAUGGGUUCAACUACCGAUAACAUGUACAAUUGAAUCGUGUUUGUCCUAAUGCAGUAAAAGAGAGAAGGAGCGAGAGAGAGGGUUUAUAUCAAUAUGCUCAAGGGGGUUUGCUUGCCUGACAUGUGUGAAGAUAGCAAUGAGUCUUCAUCAAUGUCAACGAUCACAUCGUCGGAAACAUCGUCUACUGAGAGGGAACAACACCGGCAAACAAGAAAGAACAACAAUUACUUCACGGAAAUGCAACACUAUGAUGCAUGCUCAAGACAUGAAAUUAAAGGUGGCAGGGCUAAUCUAUCAUUUCUUAAGUUGAAGUUGGAUUUGAAUUUGAAUUCAAAUAUCACUUCAAGCAAGGAAUUUUCCGGAUACCCUUUUAAUUGAUUUGACCUGAUGCUCAGGUACAACUUGUUUUUUUAACAUGCAUGAAGAUGGUAUUUUGAGGUAUUGAUUUUCCUUGAUCAAUGUUUGGUCAUAUCAAUUGAAGUGGAAUUCAAAUAGGUAUCAAAUUCCAACUCCAAACUAAUUAUUAAAUUUAUCCUAUUCACCAUUUGGCCUAUUUGGUGAUUUUAACUUUUUCGAACAUGCAUGAAAAUACCAUAAUCAGAUUCUUUGGUUUUUUCUGAUCAUUUUUCAUAGAUAAAUUAUUUUCAUUGGACUUACAAAUUAUUUUCUAUGAUUUUUAGAAGUUUUAGGCAUUUUCUGGAAUUAUUUUAUAAUAGAAAAUCAAUUACUGCGUCAGCACUGCGUCAGCACUGCGUCCGCAUUGCGUCAGCAGUCAACUGUCCUGGGUCAGGUCAAACCUAACAUGUGGGGUCCACACAUGAGUGACACAGUUAAAUUAAGAGAGUUAGGUUAAUCUUAAUUCUUAUUUUAGAGCUAUAGGGCCCACUGUCAGUGAGUCAUUGUUUAACUAAAUAGUUAUUAGGCGCUAAUUAAACACCUGACCGGCUGGGCCCACAUGGGAGUGGCUCAGGCCGAUGAGGUCGACGCCGGCGACCAACAGAGUGACGGGGGCUCACCGGAAUUCCUCGAUCUCGUGCUAUAGGCUUCGGAUUUGCACGCGGUUGAGUUCUACGGAUAGCUGAUGAAGCGCAACAUCCAUUCCAACCCAGCCAGGAGGUGGCUGGAAUGAGGCCGGCGACGACCUCGGGCGGUGGCUGGAGUCGGCCAUGGUAGGGCUAGUGCUAGAGGGCAGGAACGGAAGGGGAGAGCACAGGAGGAGGAGCAGGAGCUCACGGCGGUUCCAAAGGAGGCAACAGUGACGGAGGAGGAGCUCGGGGCAUGGCGAAUCGACCUCGAGGUUGCCGGCGGCCGGAGAUGGGGAGGGAGCUCGCGCUCGUCGUCUCUGGGCCCUGCGGUCCGAUUCCUUCGGCGGUGAGGUUGAGGGCGAUGCAGCUGAGCUACCGGGGAUCUUUGGAGGACUUCGGGUGGUUGGAGGUGUCGGUGAGCUCGAGCCGAGGUCGGCCAUGGCGAGAGGAAAAAGUKCAGAGGGGGAGAGAUAAGGGAGAGAGAGAGGGAGGGGCUCGGGGGAGGACGAAAAGAGAGGCACGGGGGGGGGGGGGUGGGGUUGCUAGCGCGGAGAAGGCGAGGAGAGGCUGCCACGACGAGCAGGAGGUGGCAAGGUGAG